ACUCAAAGGCUCUGCAUCCGGGUGGCUUGGCAGGGGUGUCCUCUGGAGAUCCAGCGGUCGGCGGGGUCGGCUGGGAGAGGCUGCCGCCACCAUCAGGUCACCGAGGUCUUGCUCUGUUGUCCAGGUUGCAGUGCAGUAGUGCAAUUACAGCUCACUGUAGUCUCAAUCCCCUGGGCUCAAGUGAUCGUCCCUCCUCAGUCUACCAAGUAGCUGGGACUACAGGCAUGCACCACCACACCCAACUAAUUUUUGGACUUGUUGUAGAGGUCUAUGGUUUCUUAGACACGCGUGGAUUCUCACAGCCACCACCACAGACAGUACAAGCAACAGUUCCAAUACUCCAGAGAACGCCCUCAUCUCUCCUCACCCCUGCCUUCUGGCAAGCAAUGAGCUGUUCUCUGUUCCUGUAUUUUUGCCUUUUCUAGAAUGCCAUAUAAAUGGAAUUAUAUAGAAUGUGCCCUUUUGGUACUGGCCUCUUUUGUUCAAAAGAAUAAUACCUUUGAGAUUCAUCCAUGCUGUUGUUUGAAUCAAGCAUGUUAACUUUUAUUGCUGAGUAGUAGUCCAUUGUGUAGAUAUAUUACAGUUUUUUAAAAAUCUACCCCUGUCGAAGGACAUUUGGGUUGUUUUCAGUUCUUGGUGAGGAUGAACAUUUGUGUGCAGAUUUUGUGUGGACUUAAAAUCUUGACUUCUUUAAAAUACCUAGAAGUGGUCAUUGCUGGGUCCUAUGUAUGUGAGAUCUCAACUGUAAGUUUCCUCUCCUCUGACAACUGUGCCCCAUCCACAUGGUUCCUUUCUCUAACAUAUCACACUGACCACUGUGACCUCACUAAGACCUCCAAUUCACUGAGCCUGCCAUUUUUUUCAUUGAUCAUGAACCUAUUCAUUUUUUCUUUCCUUCUCACACAACUUAGUGAUCCAUCGUAAUAGUCAUCCUACUGGAAACUUUCCUCACUCCCUUAAACAUACCGUCCUGGCUGAACCACAACCUGGUAAACUCAACUACCCACCCAUUCAGUCUCCAUUAGAGUAGAACAGUGUGGCUAGAAGAAAACACAAUUGUGCCAUGGGCCAGUUCAUGACCAUAAAUCUCACCUGAGCUUCUGAUACUGAUCAUCGAUCAGUCUGACCUUCUAGUGACUAUUUCAUACUUGUAUCUCUUCAAACCUCUGACAGCCUCAUAUAUCACUGGGGAAAUAGCGAUCAGACUAGAGAUUGCUUAUUAUCCUCCCACCACCAAUUCCACCUGACGGACUAAGGCUUUACUCUCUUCUCUGCCUUCCCCCUUUUAAAACGAUGAACUGUCCAUGCUUCUGUCUGAAGCCAGCCCCUCGAUGGUGCAGUGGAUUCCAUCCGUGCCCAUCCCACCUUUUCAAUCAUUUUACUUCUGCAAUUAUCCCCCCCUUUCCUGUCUUCAUCAACUUUCUGCCAUCACCGUAUAUACGUUUCCUAAUGUAGCUCAUCUUCAAAAAUGAUGUCCCUCCUGGCUCCCCAAAACCAGUAACUUUACAGUGGAGAGACCUGACAAAACACCUCAGCCAGGUGAUCAAGGCAACGAGUCAUGACGGCGGAAUGUACCCUUGCUGUGAUGUGAGGAGGUGAUAAUGGCACUGUACCUCUUUGGUCUUCCUUUCCAAAACCCACAACCUCUGUCCAACCAGAAAAACACCAGACAAAUCCAAAUGGAAGGAUGUUCUACAAAAUACUUAACUAGCACUCCUCAGAAUUGUCAAGGCCGUCAAAAGUGGGGAAAACCUAAGAGAAGCCUAAGGAGACGUGACAAGUAAAUGUAAUGUGGUAUCCUGAAUAGGACCUUAGAACAGAAAAAGAAAGAUAUUAAGUAACACUAAAAACUGGAAUAAAGUACAGGCUUUAGAUAAUAAGGUACCAAUACUGGUUCAUUAAUUGUGACUUAUGUACCAUAGUAAUGUUAACAAUAGAGGAGGCCAGGCACGGUGGCUCACGUCUAUAUUCCUACCGCUUUGGGAGGCCGAGGCAGGAGGAUCACUUGAGCCCACGAGUUUGAGACCAGCCUGGGCAACAUAGGGAAACCCCGUCUCUAUUCUAAAAAUAAAAUAAAAUAAUAGAGGAAACUGAGUGCAGGGAACUCUUAUAAUGGUCUCACAGCCUUUCUGUAAACCUAAAACUAUUCUAAGAUAAAAGUCGAUUAAAUAUGAAACCACACACACACACACAUACACACACACACACAUAUACACUCCCACACACUCCCCUGACCCAUGUCAUCCUCUUGCUCCACUCCAUUUCCCUGCUUUCCUGCACAGGGAACCUUCCCAAACGAGUUGUAUAUUGCUACGGUCUCUGUUUCCCCACUCCAGCCAGCUCAUUCCUCAGUCUACUCCAAUCUGCUGUCCUUAGCUCCCCACCAAACCUGCUCUUGUUAAGGUUGAUGGUGAGCUCCAUGUUGGCAAAUCCGAGUCAAUUUUUUUCCCCUUCCCUUACCUUUCAGUCUAGUGUGUGUGUAAUGCAGUUCACUAUGCCCUACUUCCCGCAGCACCCUUAUCACUUGGCUUUUGAGAUACUAUACCCCUGGAUUUCUUUCUGCUCCUUGGGUGCUCCUGCUCAGUCUGGCUUCUACCAGUGGCCUAGGUUCUGUCUCCCGACCUCUGUUCUUUGCACUUCUAUCUCAGAGGCAUAUUUCAUCCCAGCUCAUGGAGUUAAGUACAAUUUACCUACUGCACAUACCCAAAUUUGUAUCUCCAGCUUUAAACCCUAUGAGGUAGGGACUGCUGUCACCACCAUUCUACAGAACAGCAGACUUAGGCUAUCAGAUGUUUAAGGGGCUUCCUUGAGGUUACACAGCAGGAAGCAGCAGGGCUGGGAUUUGAACCUAGGUCCGUCUGACUCUAGGUCUGUGUUGUGAGUUGCCAGGCUGCCCGGCCGCCCCCUCCUUCCCAGCUCCCGUCCUGCCUGCCCCCCAGGGCCUCUUGCAUGUAUUGCUCAUUCUGGCCUCAGGCCUUUGUCUCCCUGGUCCACUUCUCCUGGAAUGACCUCUUUUCCCGCUGCCUGUCUAAUCCUCUUCCAUCCCAGCUCUGGUGGGAGAUUCUUCACUCCUAAGACCCAGGCUGAUCUCUGCUGGCCUCCUCUGGACAUUUGCAGGAGUUGAAGUCCACCCUAAAACAACCAAGGGCUCAUUUGCAUCAAUAGUUAUCAUGCUUUCUGAACCCGCGAUGGGACCCUUGGCCCAAGUACAGCUGCACCCGCGGGGACGCGGAAGCACGUGAUCUAAUGCUUGGACUGGCUGGGAAAACUGGGCCAUGGGCCUCCAUCAUCCCACACCAUCUCAGACAGGGUCUCAGUCAUCCAGGCGGGCUUUGUUUGGUUCCCCUACUAGCUGGGAAGCUUCUAGAAGGAAGGAUCAUGAUUGCCGAAGAAGUAUCAUUUUUAAACACUGUGUAUUAGGUGGGGCUGGGGAAGUACUUCAAAAUCCUUUUCUCCUGGGUCCUGGGGGACCAAGAAAAGUUCAGUCUAGUAGUGAAAGAAUUGAUUUAGACUUCAUUUGAGGUCACAGAGAGGCCAAGCAGUUCCCACAGGGGUCGCUGAGCUCAGAGGAAUGUUUGGAAGAAAUGGGGGUGACAGGAUCAUUUUUGGAAGAACUGAGAGUGCCGGAGGGAAGUGAGGAGCAGGAGGCUGGAAGGAAGAUUUGGGAAGGGCCAUGUGGGAGGCCCAGUGCUGGCUGAGACAGUGAGCGGUGACCUCUGGGGCAGAGAACACAGCCCUUUCACUUACGUGAGUUCAGCCCCAGUUCCCAUGAUGCUGGCCUGGGCUCUGGCCCCCACCCUGCCACUAACUCCCUGUGUGACUGUAGGCAAGUCGCUUUGUUUUCCUGGGCAUCAGUUUCCUCAUCUCUAAAAUGAGGAGGUUGAAAAAAAGAAGUGAUGGGGUUGGGCGACAUUGUUUCUCAGCCCCUCUCAGCAUCUGAGAUAACAUCCUGUGCUGUCUUACCCAGGGCCACUACCUCAGGGAAGGAAGAGCCGGGUUAACCUGACUGUUCUUCUGCAGGCCUCCUGGUAAAAGUUUCUUUUUCACAAAAAAGCAGUCUCUUUUGUGCGGGAUCCAGGAGAGGAAGGAUGUUAAGUGGUUGAAUCUUGCAUGUUGUAAAAGAAAUGAAUCUGCAUUUCCGUGAUCUCCAGAAAAAAAACAGUUCAUUCACUCUCCACCCCCAUCUGAACAUGGGCAUCAAAGCCCAUGCUGCGGAAUGGGAUCAGUUUUGCCCUGCAUGAUCAGAAGGGGCAGGGUUGGCCCUUCUCUACUAGGUAGGGCCUUCUGAGGUUCCAGCCUUGGGUCAGAGUCCCUCUCCCAGAGAGAUUCCUCAUCCAUAAGCCAGCCAACCAAGACAAGUGCUGAGAUGUUGUCACAGCCCACCAGGGUUUGCUUGCCUAGAGGGGAAUAUAUCUAGCAUCAGGAGGACCCCCAAUGGCUGAACGAUUGCUGAUUCUGCUCGGGCCCCUACCUUGGUCCUUGCACAUCUGGUCACACAGGCAUGUACCUACUCCUGAGUCACCUACAUUUUGAAAAUACAAAAUCGGGAGCAUUUAAGUCAGUCUUCACUGGAUUGCUUGAGGCAAAACAUGAAGCAGUGAUGGCUUGUGUGGGUCUUGUGUCUUGUGCUUGGAGGCUGAGCUCCUCUGACCCAUCAGGAACAAUGGCUUCGUUGUGUUCCUGGCUUGCUCUGGCUUGCUCGCUGGACUUGGAAGCAAGAGGAGCUUUGAGCUGCCCAGCACCCCCAGGAGCAGGAGGGUAUAAUCAUGGCCCAAGGACAGCACUGUGGACCCCAUGGGACCCUGCAGUUGUUAGGGGGCUGGGAUGGAUAGCACCUUUCCAGGCCUGGAUCCUGAAUUAGCCAGUGCUUAGAGGCAACUCUGCUCCUGAAGGAUGGGCUGAGAUGUGUCAGUCACAGAAAAGCUUCAGAAAAGAACAGGUGAUGUUUUCAGGAAGUCCAAGAUGGCAGGCAAAGGUGGGUAGGAACCUGGCAGAGCCCAGAAACUCCAAUCUGAAGGUCCAGGCCCCAAGAUUUGGAAGAGAAGAGUAAGCAAAAGAACCAGAAGGAGGUCUAAAGGCUAAAGUAAUAAAGACAUGAAUUUUCUAUUUAGAAAUGAGAACAGGGUCCUGUCAUAAAAUCAGCCUCCCAGCCAUCAGUCUAAGGUGUAAGAGGAGAGACGCACUGGCCAGGAAGGGGUUUCAGUUUCAUUUCUCCCAUCAACAAGCUGUGACUUGCUUAAGUCAUAAGAUCCUCAGUUUCAGCUGUAGAAUGGGUGCCCAUGGCAUUGCUUAGACCUAGGAUCCAGUGAGCUAACAAGCUAACAAACAUGUGAGACCAUACUAUAUGGACCAAAUGCUUAGGCAAAGUACAUGCUGCUGGAAUGGCUGGUUCUAGGGUAGACAGUGAGAGCGCAGGCUGCUGCACGGUCUCUCCCCUUGCCCCCAUCUCUCCAUGGAGACAAAGGUCUGCUCACAAGCAGGUCAUGAUCUGGAAAAGUGAAAUUUGAAUUGGGGAACAUAUCAUGCUCAUGUCCAGUUCUGGGCUUUCACUGUGCUCUGUCUCUGGCCGAGGGGAUCUCUGCUCUUCCCAAUCACAGUCUACCUGGGAAGACCCUACUCCAGCCCAGCCGCCUCCAAAUUGAAGUCCUAAUGCCCAGGCUGCCCCUUUCCCUUCGGGACCUCCAUCCCAAAGUGCACUAUGUGAAUAUACAGAACAGUGUGGCUCUCAAACGACUUCAUGUAAUUUUCUGAAAGCAGAGACCAUGACUUCUUUCCUUGGGUUCCCCAUAGGAUACAAAAAAUGGCCCCGAGGCACAUAGAUAGAUAGAUAGAAAAAUACUUGCAGAAAUAUGGAAGAUACAAUAUGAAUUUUCAGACUUAGGCAACUACCAAGUAUUUAACACAGUCUUUCCUUCACCAGUCUUAUCAGCUCACUUCAGUAGUCUCAUAAAGGUCUGUGCUAAUGUUCAAUUUAUAUGAACGACUUAAUACUUCACUUUACAUUGGCAUAGCCCAUGAUAAAUCCACAGGAAAUAAGAGCCACCAGCAGUGGUAGGAUCAGAAUACUUUAAUAAGAUACCAGUGUCAAAAUACAUUUCCUUAUAAAGUUAAGCUCCCAUACAGUUAUAAUGUUGUCAGUAGGAAUUCGACAAUAUAAUAACGUUCAUGAAAUCGUUACGUUGACAGGUAGGGUUAAUAUGAAGCUUGGAAUAUUUUUCAGUGUUUUAGUAAAACUGCAAGGGUAAAAUGCCCUUAAUGCCAGGGCAACACACACAGGAAAUCAAAUACCAGCAUUUACACGUCAGUAACCCUUCAAGUUCUGCCACCCUGUGUGGGGUAAUGCCGUGCAGCUAAAAUAUGAUUUACGCAACACCAUGACUAAGGAAUUUCUCAUAGAACUUAAAUUUCUUUUGAAAGCUAUUUUUUGUUUUUGGCAAUAAGUCUAUCCGGGCUUACUAAAUAGUUGGCCCAAUGUGCUUUGUGUGUGUUUUUAGAAACUUCUUCAUUGUACCCAUUACAGAAAAGUUCCAUGUAAUUGGUAUUGAAAAACCAGAGGUGUCGUCCCUCUUACCCAGGGAGUUGCAAAGUGCUCUGGGAACACUAUUUUCAGUGCUUCCUACCUACAUGUCACUGACCGACCCAGAGACCUCAGCCAGGGCCUGUGGCUAGGGGCCAUCCCUGGAGGCCUUGCGGGGCCAUCUGGCUGCCGGCUGAGUGGGGGCUGCAGGGCUGGUCUGGACCAGCUGCUCUCCCGCUGUGCAGCCUCCUCCUCAGUCCAGCUCCACGGGGCUCCAAGGUCGUGAGCUUGGAGGACGUGGACGGGGUCACUAUACCAUUUUUGACCCCUCAUUUGCAUGAAUUCCCGUCUAAACCAUCUCAUGGUAGUUCUGGAAAUGUCCAAAUGUGCCGUGUGAAAGACCAUCCGAGUCACAUAGCUCAGUGCACUUGAAGGGCUAGCAACAAAACCUUAAGAAAAGUUAGAGCACUUCCCCGCCCCACCCCCCGACCCCACAACGUGCCAUCAGACCCUCUUGGCAGCAAUAAUAAUAAUACAUACAUACAUAGUACAUAGAGAAUGUGAGGGGAUAGCGCGCAGUGCUCCCGCUGAAUGACUCCACUGCUCGGAUUGUCACACCUAUGGCAUAUCACAGAUGGCAAAAAGCCGACAGAGGGAGGCCUUCCACAGUGUCCGUACAGGCCGUGGGAGCACUGGACAAGUCUGCAGUGUCCACAACACUAAGAAAAAUUAACAGCUUCGAAAAGAUCUUAAAGUGAUUUUGUGAGCAGGAUUCCAUUUCCGUUUCUAAGUUUUUAGAUAUUACAAAGUACCCAUAUAUAUGAUAAACACUUAACCCAGAUAUAAAUUUUCUCCUCUUUUAAAAAACUCAGUUAUGUUUUUGAAUAAUAAUAAAAAAUCCACCAAAUGCGGGGGAAAAACACCAGUUUAGGAAAAGCCACGCUGUGCAACUUUCACAGAUAACCACAUACGUUGGAGUUGACCCUUCACAUUUCUUUUUUUCCAAAAUUAGAGCAAAGAGUCAGCUUAAACAAAAAAAAAAAAACCCUGAAAUUUACAAUAUGGUGAUUAGUUUAAAAAAGAAACGAGAAGGGCUCUGCGAGGGAGACGCCACAAACCAAGCUUGGAAAGCAAAAUCAUUUUUGUUUCUCUUUGGCAACAACAAUAACGAGGAAUCUUUUUAGUAAAAUGAAGCUAAAGCUUCUCCCUACAGAAGAACAGACAUGCACCAAACUUGUUAGUAUGGACAGUUGUGUGUGAGAAGGAGAAGGAGGGAGAGAAACCUAUGGAUAAUAUAAAUUAGAAGUCAUUGAAGGUGGGGAGGAAAAAAAUCCUACAAAAUUUAAGAACAUUUCAGAACAGGUAAAACAAUUGUGUACUUUAAAAAUAGGGAUAAUAAAGUGAGCAUCUCAGAAAAAGGCCACUGCUUGGUGACCUGGGCAAGUCUGCCAGGUAAGUCCAUCUUGUAAAUAGUGUGCUGGCGUUAGAAAUACCUAGUUGCAAAAACAGACGGAGAGAGUGAAGCUGGUGGGACGGCGUCGGCAGAGGUGCUGCCCAGGUAGAAGGCCUGGCUCAGGUGGCCUGGUCCAGGGCUCUGAGGAGGUCCCCUCCUUGCAGGAGCGUGGAGCUUCCCAGCACGGGCACGUUCACCUCACAGUCAUAUCUGGUCAGUUCGGGCAGCAGGUAGGACUCAAAUGAGGGCCCGAGCAGCCGGCUUGCCAUGCCUGAAAGAAGGGUUGGUACCAUAACUUAAAGGCCUAAAUCGAACAUUUGGAAAAGUGUCUACUUCUUUGUGACUGGGGGAUACCAAUAGAGCAGCCCUAAUUUCACUCUGCUCCUUCAGUGGUGUCUGUCCCACGGCCUGCUGCAUGCCCGGGGAACGUGUCUGCCUCCAGAACCACUGCCUCAGGUGGGGUGCUGAGACCCAAGAAAGAGGAAAGCGUGAGGUGCGGGCUGCAGCACAGGUAUGUGGAAGCUUCAGGAAGAGCCUGGGGUUGCUGACCCCCAUGCCUCCUGGCAGCAGGGAGGAAAGGCUGAACCACCUGGCACCUAUGCUCACAUACACAGAACAUGCAGAACACACACAUACAUACAGAUGCAAACACAGACUGCCUCAAGAUUCAACAGUCUGAAAAUCCAGUUUCUGGUCACCACCCUCAGCAGUCCUUUCUUCUUGCCUCUGUGCUAUUCUCUUGCCGAGGAGGCAGACCAGGGAGUGGCAGGGGGGACACUCGCAGCACACACACAGGCCCCCAUCCCAAGGAGGAAAGGCUUAGGUGGCAGCAGAGAGCCUGGAAGCCCUGCAUUCUGCCCCUCCGAUGGGAGAUGCCCACCCACCUUCCCUUAUCUGCAGAGCCUCGUUCCAGUGGCCAUUGCCUCCUGCACCUCCUAGCUCAGAUCCUUGCUGGGGUCCAUGCCUGCCUCCCCAGCUUGACUGCUCCUGUGGACAGUAUCAAUGGAUACCUGCUCACCAUCCCUUGCUAACUUCUCUUAUUCAUGGUCAGAAAAGAGUUUGAUAUGAUUCAACUCUUUUGAAAAGAAUAUGAUUUUCCCUUGAUUUCAAUAUUCAAGGUAAUUCGUGGGCUUCACAUAACAGGAAGAAUAGUGCUGGCUACCUCUUACUGCACAUAAAUAUAUACCAGCCCCUGAACUCAACAGCAGAGCCAGAAUUUAAGCCAGGGCUGUCUGGUGUUUCUACAGCCUGGACUCUGAAGCACAGAACUAUAACCUUCCCCAAACUCUAUUGCUGAGGAAAUUGCCUUUUAGAACAGGGGCCUGGUAUGUUUUUCCAUAAACCACGAAUUAUUUUCAGGCCAAACAAACCUCAUGAAGACAUAUAUGUUUCACAAGAUACUGUCAAGAUGAAGGUGGCCCAGGGUUGAAGGCAGGCAUUGGUGCCUGCAGUUGAACCAAGUCCAGUGGGGUGGGCCUACCAGAGCUUUCCAGGCUGUUCUACCUGAAGGAAGUUUUGGCAUGUUCUCAGCACCUGCCUGAACUCAGAGUGACACCCCAAAACACAUCCACAUGAAGAACUGAGGAAGGGGCAAGGCUCCGGGAUUCUCAGGGUGGAAAGAGCCCUGGAUGGCACCUGAUCAUGGGAGGGUUCUCCCUAAAGCCCCAGGGAAGGAGCACUCCCUUCUCCACGCAGCAAGCUCAUCCUUGCAUAGACGGGAGAUCCCCUGCCUCUGCCCAGACCGCUUCCCAACUCUCUCUCUCUGAACUUUCUCUUCUCUUCUUCAACAGGCCCUCACCACUGUGGCCGCCUGCUCUUUCUUCUGAAAGUGCUCCUGUCAACAGUGGUACAGUGUUCUGGGGGUCGCCAACCCAGUGUUCAGUGUUCAGUCCUCUUUGGGCAGUCGGUAGUGGUCUGCAUUCUUUCCUUCAGUAUUCUAGCCUGAGUUUGAGUUUUUUAGCUGUGUCUCAGACCCACCCACUGGGGGGCCUGAUCACUGAUGUCACAAGGAACUUGUGAGGAGGUUCCCUAAAUCCAAGGAGACCUGAGCCCUGUAUAGGUGACUUCAAGUCAAGCACCUCCCUGUGCCUGGCACUGUGCAGACGCUGGAAAAAAAGUAGACGUGGGCUUCCCCUGGCAUCGAAUCCUGGGAUGGGGGUGACAGAUCCUGGGCACACCCACCUGACACCUUGUGGGCUGACGACAGGCUGUAGUCCUGGUACUGGGUGGCGUAGCACUGUGGGGGGAACCUGCUCUUGCUGUUCUCCCCGGGACUGAUGGCAGAUGGAGGCUGUGGCAGCGGCAGAUGUCUCAGGGGAUGGCCCAGGCCCCUCAUGGGGUUUUGGGUGAACUUAUCUGAAAGACCAAAGUCAGAGAGUGACGGUAGCAUUGGCCUGAGGGAGGGGAGAGGCCAGGAAGCCCUAGCAUCCCUUUCCUUUAUAAAAGGUGCUCAGAGUCACCAGAACUACAGCCAACCUUCAGGACCCUCUGAUGGCAUCAUCUAAGUCAGAGUGGAGAUGGAAAAGUUGGGUGUGUGGGACUGCGGGAGAGACAGAGGACAUCGCCCCAUUCUAACAAGGCUCAGAGAGGCAGGUACGGCCUGUGGUGAAUGGAAGAACCAGGAUGGGCUCCCGAGCCCCAGUCCUUCCACCAGAACCCCCAGGAGGCCCAGGCCUGUGGCCGCUGCUCACCAUUGGGUACAUUUGCGCUCAGUGGCUUGUCCGGCAUCAAAGGGCAGCUCCCACCCCUGAGGUUCUUCAUCCGUUUCCACAUCAAAUGUGAGGUGCUGCCACCAGGUGGGUCCCCCUGGGAGUAAGAAGGGCAGAUGGAAAGGGGAAAUGGCCAGAGAACCAGGUCCCCAGACUGGGUGGGUUGGGUGGGCCUGGAACAGGGCUGGCACUUGCUGGCUUGGAAGGGCCACAUCCCCACCCCUCUCAGCAGCCCUGGGUUCCCUAAGGGCUAUGCUGGCUUGGAAGGGCCACAUCCCCACCCCUCUCAGCAGCCCUGGGUUCCCUAAGGGCUAUGGAGAGGCCCCUGUGGCCAGUGGGGAUGACUCACCCCGCUCAGGUCCUGGAAGGCUUGCUCUUCAUACUCCAGCUGUCGCUUCAGCUUCAGCUUGUUGGAGAGGGCUACCAUGGCCGGACUCAGCACGUCUGGGCCUCGAGCCCCAAAACCCUUUGCAGACCUGCCAAGCCCGAGAGAGCAGGCUAUGAGGGAGUCUGGAGCCACAUGCCACUCAGUGCCUUCUCAUCUUAGGGGCCCUUCCAGUCCCAAUGCUGAUGCCUGUGAUGACUCAAAGACCCAAAAGGCAGAGUCUCAGAGGCAGGCUGUGCACCUGCAGGCCGAGCUCGAGCUCUGUCUCCUUCCUCAGCUAUAAGAUGCUGAAGGGCUCAAGCCUCCUGGUCUGGGGGAUGGCUGCCUGGCUGGGCAAUGUUAGUCCUUAGGAGGGUUUCUUCUGCCCAUGUCUCUCCUCUGCCUUUUGCUCCCACUGAAAACUAGUUUGGCUGCUCUAUAAAGGGCAAGUACCAGCGGCCCCUGGGAGUGGCAGGUCAUGUACCAACCCCUGUGCCUUAGCCCAGUGAGCUCGCAGCUGGUGAAAUGAGCAUGCUGGGGAGAUGGGAAGGCAUUUCUGGAGCCUAGGCACAGCUGGGAGAGGCUGCAGUGGCGAGGACCCGGGGGCAGCCAAAAGGCAAGGGGAGGCAGGGGUAUCUUUUUGCUGUUUUCAACCAGGGAAAAUCAUCACUCAAUUUUCUGUGUGGCUCAGAUGAUGAACCGAGAUACGAAAGGCACUCUGGUGGUGGUCCGAAGGGAGACACUGAGGUACAGGGCUCUCAACAAGCCACUUCUUUGCCUGCCCUCAGUGGCAGCCCAGAUAAAAACCCAUCCUACACUAGGCCUCACAUGGCUUGAGGUGAUUCCCCAAAGUCUGAGCUCAGAGAAGGGCUAAAUGGGGUAUCAGAUGGCUGGGGAGAGGGGCAGGGGCCUCCCUGGGGGUCCAGCUAUCUUACUAGUGGGUGCCUCUCGGUUCGGCCCUGCUGGUACAGCUGAGUAUCUGCCACUUACCUUGUCUUGAAGGUGGAGACAUGGGGUGGAGAGACAGGGGGCCCCAACGGCGCUGCUCCCAAGAACUCUGUGCGCUGAUCCCCGACGGCCCACUUUGUGGGCCCAAAAUGUAAUGGUGGAUCUGGGGGCCACUGGGUAUUGGAUCUGCCCCCCAUGGAAGAGAGAGGGGUGCUGGCCUGGCCACAGCACGGUGGCAGGGAUGCUUUGCUUCCGGCAUCAAAGAAGAUGGAGGACAUGGGCCGGUGCUCGGGCUCUGUCUUCUUGCUCUCCAGCUGCUGCUGAAACUUGUCCAGGAGGAAGGGACUGUGCGGGGCUACAGGGGCCAGUGGCUGGAAGAUGUUUGUCAUGGCACUGAAGCAGUGCUGGGGGGUGGACUGUGGGUUCUCCGCCAAGAGCCGCUCCUCGGGGCAGAUGGGGCUUAGCUGGAAGUCUUCCCCGUCCAUGGGGAUAUAGGGUGCCAGUGUCUCCAAGUCCAGCUCAUUGAAAUCCGUCUGAGGGGAGACAGCACCGGCAAAGAGGCAAGGGGGUUGGUACGACCUCACAAACACUAUUCCAACUCAGCUCCUGCAGAGCCAUUCAUCUCAAGCACUGUUUCACAGUGCUGCUCAAACGCCUCCACUGGCUCCCGAGGGCCUAUCAGGAAAACCUCAGACUUGGCUGUGUCAUGUACACGACCUUGUAUCAUGUACCAGCCUUCCCCCAUGUUUAUCCCCUCUUCACCCUGCACAUUGAGAAAUGUUCUCCUCUCCCCAUCCCACCUGUCCGGAGCCCGCCUUCUCUCUUGAAGCCGAGGCAGCCCCUCUUCCACAGAGUCAGCCCUGCCUACUCCAGCCUGUGGUGGUUAUCCUUGUCCUACAAUGCUUAGGCCUGUGGUGCACACUGUGGCUUUUUUUUGUCCUCUUCUCCCUCCUGUAAGCUGGCACGGGCCUAAGCAAGCAGUAAGUGCCCAGGUCCAUCUGUGGACUCUCGCAGAGUAACAGCCUAACAGCCAGACCCCAGGGACAGAGACUUUGGUUCCAAUCAGCAGAUACUCAGAUCAUCCCUUAGGGUGGCAGUAUCAUGACGGACGCAUGAUACAAGCAGGGGAAUACAAGCAGAUGCGGAAAACAGUUUCUAACUUCAGAGACUGACACCCUCAGUGGGUGUCAGCUGACUAAUGACUGCAAUACUAAGCAAUCUUUAAGGAGCAGAAGCAGAUAGCUGUGAUUAAGUGCCACAUGAUAUAUACUACAGGAGUGCUGAGGAGGGAGGGUGAUAGAAAAGCUAAAAUUGGGCAUGUUUUGCAGAGUAGCUGGGAUUUGUGCCAAGUAGGAUCAAGAAACAAACUAAGUGGCAAGGCAGAAAUCUGGUUGAACUCAAGACUAAGACAAAUGGGGGAUUAAUGGUUUUCCCUGGGGUUUUGUAAAACACGUACCCCUCCCUCUACCUUAUCCUUGUUUACAUAGUUUUUGCAAGAACAUUGGCCUUAUGUAAUAAAUGUGUUCCUGAAAAGUUUUAUGUAAAUGAAAAAUUGUCAAACAGAUGUUAUUUAUUUUAAAGUGCAUUUCAUAUAAAAAUGAUUAUUUUUUUAAAAUCACAAGAUGAAUGUGUUUAUAAAGGGAUUAAUUGUCCCCUAUGUUUAUACAUGUUUUAUACAUCUGGCUAUGCUUGUUAAAUGUAGGGCCUGUUUAAAGAAAGGUGCAGUGGUAUCAUUUCGGUUUUCAUGUGUGCUAAGAAAGCUAUCUAAGUAGGAGACACAUAUGCUGGAAGAGCUGGAUUUGACAGUGGGAGGAGGGGGUGACCACAGGCUCCAUUACCCUGUACCCCUACCUCUUUAGGGGACCUGGGCCUUGGCCAAACGUCUCCACUGCUCUUUACAACAAAGGGAUGAGGCUACAAGAAUGGAUGUGAGCCUUUGCUGUCCACCAGACAGCAGGCACACACCCUAGCCUGAUCUCCACAGCCAUCUACCUGGGUACUGCAUUGGUCCUUGGCCUCUGUGUCCAUGGCGAAGAGCUUCUCAAUCACUUCAAUCUUCAGGUCGUUAUCCAAAGAUGUGUAAUAGUCUUCAGGGCUAUUGGGCUAGGGGCCAGGAAGGAGGGGGACAGAGUCAAAGAUAUGGCACUGGUCUCCCCAGAAGUCCAGCAUGGAAGAAGAAAUACCUUCCUGGACCCAAAGGUUCAAUUCCAUUCCACCACACAACUAUUUGUAGAGGGGCUGCUAAUUAACAAGCUGUAUGAAUUAGGUCAAUUCAUCAACCUCUCUAAAUUCCAGUCUCCUCAUCAUAAAAUGAGGCUACUGUCGCUUCACAGGUUGUCCUGUCUUGAGGACCAAACAGGAUACAGGCUGUGGCCAGCAGGGCUGUGCAAACUGUGCAGCUCUGUGCCACAUACGGGAUGUUACUGCCCUGUAUGGGGACUGAGCUGGGGGCUCAAAGCCCUUCAAGGAGCUUAUUUCAAUGGAGUUGGGGGAUGAACACUAAAAGGAAGAAAACAGCUCUGAUACCUGGUAGGUAAGUGUCACGGCCACUCUAGGGGGCUCUGUGAUAACCUGAGAAGGACAGUACCUGUCCCAAAUGUCCCUUCAGCCAUCUGGCAGCAGUCAUACAUACGGAGCCCUCUCUGUGUCCUCGCCAUAAGAGGGCUGCUCACCGUGGAGCAGCUGCUGCUGCUGCUGGUGGCACUGGGGGUGGUGCUGCCCGGGGCAGCUGCCUGGGGCACGGUGAAGGCAGGCAGGCUCCCAGCCUCGCUCUGGGUGCUGUGGCUCCUCAACUCCGUGGCCCAUGGCUGGCUCGGGGGCAGGAUGGCCUUGCCAUAGGCUGAGGACUCCUCGAAGUUCUGAUUCCCUGUGGAGACAAGGGCCUGGGAGGUGAACACCCACAACCAUCGGGCUCACCCCAAGGCAGAGGAGGCCCAAAAACCGCAGAGAAGGCCCUAAGAGGGUCUGGAAGGCAUGCCUGGGGCUAGGCCCCCCCAACACCCUGGGGCUCAGCUGGAACACAUGGGUCUUUGACUCUGGCUAUGAGUCAACGUAGAGACUCCCUUUAAACGGAACAGUCUCCUGGGACAUUUAAUUUUCAGAGACUAAAUAUAUUAGGAGCCACUCUUCCCUGAGGAACAGAUCCGGAAGGGUAGACAAGGAAGGUAUGAGAGGGAGAGGAGAAUUGGGCUAUUGAGCUAUUUGCCUCAGUACUGCCACAAAACAAGCCGCGAGACCUACUGGCCAAGGGCCCGCUGCGUUUCAGAUUCUCUUUAGCUGCAAUCCUCACGUGGCCGCUGUAGAACCCAUCUAAAAGGGGCUGACACAGUCCAGGGUGAGCACCACUCUUCCGGCAGCCACAGCAAGGCCAGGAGAGGGUGGCAGCGGGUUGCGAACUGGGGAGCAUGGGGCUUCAAGGGUGUUUCCAGGAUUGGAGCAGCCGAGGGCUGAAAACCCUGCCGGGGUCCCCAGUGACUUACAUCCCCAGGGACAGGCAGACACUUUAAUGAAGUCGUGGGUUUGAGGGCUUAAUCCCAGGCCUCAAUAUGUUCUCUGUGUUUUUGGAAUGAUCCUUCCCAACAUUACUCCAACUUGGCCCUCUGCCUGAACAAGCCAUCUGUCCUUCCAGACCCUGGUAGGAAUCUGCCCCUUCUCUUUGACAGUGUCCAAGUGGCCUCGGAGCAGAUCCCUCACCUCUCCCCUCCCUCUCAUCUCAGACUCUCACCACCCAUGGUGGAGAAUCGACCCUCAGGGGGGUGUCCUCUCUUAACCCCUCCUCGUACAGCACUUGGUGAGGUCGGAUAUGGGAUGGUCUUAUCAGGGCAGGAGCGUGUGGUGUUCUUUUGUGCUCAGCAGGGCCUGGCCUCUAACAGGUGAUUAACAAGACUUGGGGGGCUGGGGUAGCUCUGGUUAAGAAAAAGCUGCAGCCAGGGAGGCCUGUUAUAGUAAGAACUCUUCCCAGCCCCAACGGGGUUCCAGGGGCCUGGCUUAGCUAAGAAGCACCCACCGAAAUCCAGAGAGAUGAUGGCGUCUCCUGGGGUGGGAGCCAGCUGGGCCAGCUCCUCGGGCUCCUCCUUUAGCUUGGUGAAUAGGAAGUUACUCUUCUCAGACACAGCCCCCUUGCCACUGCUAUCAAAGAUGCUGUUCAUGGCCAUCAGGUGGGGCUUGAACAGGGAUUCAGUCUGGUCCAUGGAGAACACCACGUCAUUCUUCUCAAUCUCACUAAUGGGGGGGAAAGAGCCAUUCAGACUUUCCACAUUUUCUAGAAAAAUUCUGCUCCCCUAGAUGCAUGGAAACCCUCAUAGCUAAGCUCUCCGACAAAAAAUGGGUAGGACUCCAGGCAUUGGCGUCUUAUAAAGAACCAUACAAUAGAAGUGUGUGAGCCAUGGAGGUAGUGACAACAGAGGUAUCCUCUGAAUGUAUGUCUGUUUCGGAUCCUGUUUUAUUAAAUAUUAUUGCACUUGAGUGGGGUGGUAUAUAUGAGGCCUGAUGCUUUUGUUUUUCUCUGUCUGUAGAAACAACUAGAAAUGACUUCCUCUAGCUUUCUUUCCAGGUACUAUAGAGUGAAGGCAUGACAUCUUUUUUUUUUCCCAAAAGCAUAAGCGAUUCUCUUUCCUUUUUCCCCAUUCAGAAAAUAUUGACUAUUGUGUGCUAUCUGCCUCCCCACCUGGGUCAGAUGCAUGGCAUAAAUGACAGAUGCCAGGGAAAGCGCAGAAAAAAAAAUCCCAACCCAGUAUCCCACUGUUCCAAGACAUCCACAGGAAGUCCUCUCAGUCACUAGGGUUAGCCCUGCAAGACCUCCCUGAGGUGGUGCCCAGGGCGCUGAGAGGCCUGGCAUCUCCUAGGCCUGUCAUCCUGAGUCUGGGAAGCUUGGGCACCCCCACAUACCCUGCACCAAGGCCCGCCAGCCCUCACAUGCUUACCUCAGGACGUAGUUGACACACAUGAUGCACUGGGGCUGCAGGUUGCGAGGGUUGUAGAUGACCGUCCCCUGGGUCUCCAGCCACACGUAGCCCCCAUGCUUUGCGAGCAUCCGGUACUGGCCACUUACUACCUGACCCUUGGUGCACACUAGGGGAGGAGAAACAGAGCUGAGCUUAGGGAGGUGGGGCAGGGGUGUGCACCACAGGCUCAGCAGAUCGCAUGGGAGGGCAGUCUAAUCUGCAGGGGAACAGACAGAACAGGGCGCCACGACAGUGAGGACCAGGGAGAGUGACCUGGGAGGGAGCUUAGGGAUCACCUCAGCCAACUCUUCAUUUUAAAUAUAGGAAAAAGAGGUGAGAAGAGGUGAAAUGACUUGCCCAAGGCUGUCUACUGAGGGAGGGACCCGCUCACUAUGCAGCUUUGCAGUGGCCCAUCACCAAUCCCUGGACAAGUCAGGCUCACAGACCAGCUCAGCUAUAAGCAGAACCAAGUCCAGAACCUGCCUUACUUUCUUCAUGGGGUUCAAUGAGAAGAAGCCCCUUCACACUGGGUAAGGAGCGCCAUCCCGUCAAGCACUCCAGGUGGGGGGACUUCUAAGCAGCCUGGAGAAAGCCUGACCUCAGGGCAGUUUUUUUUGUUUUUUUUUGUUUUUUUUUUUCAGCAGACCCACCACCAAUACCCUGCUUAUGAAUAAAAGCAUUUAAAACAUUGAUAUCCUUGAUUUCUCCAGGUCAUCUGUCAGGCUUGCCACCUUUUGGGCCACUGAAGGUUUGUGACCCACAGCAAAGGCAGAGGCAAACCACCCCACCCUUUCUCAGUUGGGGCUGAGAAAGAGCUGGGACCCUGGCAGCCCACACACAGUCUCUUCAUAAGCUGUAAUAAAUCACUUAUACUCCUUCUCCCAACCGCCCAGCUAGGCUUCCUACUUAUGAGGUUUUUCCUCUUCUAGAUUGUUCUACUAAGUGUUCAUUUAAAAAACGCUUUUGUUGUCUACCUUGGGGAAGGGUUUCACAUCACAGACUGUCCUUCCCCAGUCCAGAAUGUUCCAUCUGCUGCCAUUCAAAAGGAAUCAAUAAAUCUCUUUAAAGUCUAAUAAUGUUAGAAUUUUUGGUAUUUUUCUGAACUGCCCAUUCCUUGGGAAUUUACAGAACUCCAGCUCAGAAGCUCCCAAAUCACAGAGACGUUAGGAAAGGGCAUGGAGGGAGGAUCGGGAAAUCUUGCUAGCUUGGGAUUUGGGGAAAGGAACAAUCCUUCUUGGUUUUGGUUUCCUCCUCUGCAAAACAGGAUAUUGAUAAUAAUAGUAGUAACGGUAAUAACUGUCAUCAUUAGCUACCCAGCAUACCACUGCCAUUUGUACUGAGGAUCGACUGUACCCACAUGGCUUAUCAGGUACAUAAGUGUUGACCAACUGUCACCAACAAAUUUUGUAUAGGAAAAGCCACCUCUUUCUUAGAGAUACUAAUACAUAUUAUGCCCAUGGCCUGUCACAGACAGUCUGUUACACGUUGGUAGAUAGUCUCAUGAGGGGCCACUCGGGAGGAUAUCCAGGCUCUCGGUAGACAGAGAGUCUCCCCGGUUCUCCUGGUAGGCUCGCAGGCCUCCUCCCCAUUCAUCAGCCCUGUACAGCUGAGGAACAUGGCUCUCUUCAUACUAGUGCAGUUUGGUAAUCCUUUACACUUAUGUUUUGCUUUCUUCUUCACAAUUUAACAAGCACCUGCAAAGUGCAAGAAUUCCUGUAACUUACAUUUGUAUAGUGCUUUGCAGUGUUCAGAACUAUCUGAUAAGAUGAAUUCGUUUCUGCAAAGCAUUCAGCACAGUGCCUGGCACAUAGGGCGCUCACUAAGGAUUAGGUCAUCAUCACUGCAUUUCAUAGGCAACACCAUGGGGUGCCUGUUGUUAUUCCCACUUUACAGCUGAAGAAACUGAGGCUUAAAACUACUGAGUCAUUUGCUGAAAGACCACCUCAGUGGAAACAGUAGACAGAAUUAUAGUUCAAAUUAAAGAUUCCUAGUCUAAGCUUUUUCUGUUUGCUCUUAAUUUUUAAAAAUAAAUGUUAUUGGGGUCAAAUUUACCUUCAAUAAAACACACACCCAUUUGAAGUAUACAGUUCAACAAGUUUUGACAAAGGUACAGUGAAGGCAUAGCACUUUUCCAUCACCGCCCCCACCACCCCAUUUUUUAUGCCUCUGGGCAGUUAAUCUUCAUUCCCACCCUGGUUCCAGGCAACCACUCUUCUGCUUUUUGCCACUAUAUAUUCGAAUUGUCUUUUCUAGAUUUCCAUGUAAGUGGAAUUGUAUAGGAGUAUCUACUCUUGUGUCUGGCUUCUCUACACUCAGCAUGUUUUGAGAUUCAUCAUGGCGUUGCAGGCAUUUGUGGUUUAUUCCUUUUCAUCAGUGAGUUGUAUUCCGUUGCAUGGACAUACCAUAAUUUGUUUAUCCAUCUGCCUGUUGAUGGAUGUUUGAGUUGUUUUCAGUUUUUGAUUAUUAUGAAUAAAGCUGCUAUAAACAUUUGUGUAUAAAUCUUUGUAUGGACAUAUUUUCAUUUCUCGUGGGUGCAGCUAGGAGUGCAAUUGCUGGCUUACCUGUAAAGUAUAUGUUUAUAAGAAGCUGCCAAAUUAUUUCCAAAAUGGUUGUAUCAUCUUGUCUAAUCUUUUAAACAAAACCCUGUGCCACAGGGAGGAUAAGUAUUUUCUUUUAACAUGAGGAAACUAAGGCCAGAGGGUUAUGAUUUGCUUCACAGCUUACAAGACAAUAGUGACAGAGUCUGAGCUACACAACAUGUCUGGUGGCUCCUAAUACAAUGGUCUCUUUAUUACCUGGGUCCACAAAUCACUGGGAAGACCAAACUUGCUGUUGCCGCUGUCCUAAACCAUCAUGGACUCAACCAAGGAAAUAACUUUUGUCCUCUCUGCUCUCCCUUUAUCUGUGCCACUGAGGCUCCUCUGCUGCAGUAAAAUGAUUCUUGCACAAUUUCAAGUGCCUGUAUUUAACUUAUUUAGAUGGUCCUUAAUGCAAACCAAAUUCAGGGCUCUUACUCUUUUUGAUCAAACAGUGCAGCAAGCAAAGGUUUUAAGUGCAUUUCUAACAAUUGCAGGCAAGGGCCUGCUCUGUCAGUAGAAUAUAAUUAACGCCAGCUUUCUAAUCAUCUGGUCAUUAAUGCCAGCCUUGGUGAAGGGCCUGCUACUUAAUAGAUAGGAAAAUAAGAUUAAAGGCCAUAAAAAGCCUAAAAGCACAUAAUAUCCUCAUAUAACAAAGGGAGACUGACCCCUAACCUCACGCCCAGAGUAACAGUGUAUAAAUUAUUAAUCCAUUUGGAAAUUACAGCUUUCAAUGAUCUAAAUCUAGUUGAGCUUCUCCAGGCAUUUCAACGGUAAACCUUUACAGGCUAAGACAUACAUGUGUGUAAAUGGGGGAUCCCAGUGUGUGAAUCUGGACCUGUCUCAAACCUGAGCCUCCAGUUAGUCUAGAGCAUGUGUGUCAGUCUGUAGUGAAACUUGACUUGCAAAACCUCAAGGACGAAUGAGAGACAGGGGUCGGGGGCAAGGGGCAAGCUCGUGUCAUAACUGUCAUUAAUCCAAUUUCCAACCCAAGCAGAUUUCCCUUGGCUAGCUAUGGGUUUGUCCCUUUGCUAGCUAUGGGUUUCUGAGCUCAGGGCAGCUUUACUUGGCUCCAUCAAGGGGAGAGAGAGCCUGUGAUUUCUAUUUGGGCUGUGAGUUACCUUUCAGUGUGCCUAAUAAGUAAAUACACGGAUUCAGUAAAAAGCACCUUAUUUUCCCUAGAGUCAGCAGAAAACAUAAACCAUUUUUAUCCUAGCCCUUUUUAUGGAUUGAAGAUGUUCUAAGAAGAACAAGAGGGAAAAUCCUUUCUAUAUGCCUAGUCAGAAGUCACAAUUUUUUUUUCCUUUGACAGUAGCUUCUUCUGCUUUCCCAUCCUACAAGAUAAAAGGUAAUACUGUCCUCCAAGAAUUCCCAGAAAUUUUUACAUUUGUCUCUUGCCUUGGCUUCACCCUUAGCUUGGAAGGAAGGCUAGACUUUUCCCCAGUUUUACAUCUAAAGUCAGGAAGGUCCAGAAAUCCAGGCCCUAGGGAAUCAGUGGGUCGGCUGGGCCAGAGCCUGGGCCGCUAAGUCCCAGUGCCUGGAUGAUUCUGUCACCUGCCUUUGAAAACAGGAACCCCUCAGGGACCAGGAAGCAUGAAGGAAUCCCAAAGGGAAGGCUGGAACCAGAUGUUACAAUUUCAAAGCUUGGGCAGGCUAAGGUGGGGUCACAUUCACAGGCAUAAAAGAGUACCUCCACUCCUACCCCAUCUCUGGGUUCCUGAGUGGGGCUGAAUCUAGGUUGUUUGUGUGUGUGUGUCUGUGUGUGCGCGUGUGUGUUUUGCCAGAGAGCACAGUGAGAAACUUCUCUGAGAUAUCAUAAUGGGCCCUGUUGUACUGUCAAAUCAAACCCAAAAGCCAUGAGGAAGAGGCAGAGGAACCAAUAAAAGAAAAGAAAGAUCUCACUCCUUAAGAGUGGGUUAACCAUGUUCACAUACAGCUUGCGGGGUUGUGACUCUGCUGGCUGCACUGAACUUGGCUGUCUUAGCCUUGGGGUAGAUGGGUGGAUUUAGGAGCCAUGGACAAAUGGCUGCCCUUCCGUUUUCUCCAUUGCCAGCAGGGCCACUGGGAAUCUUCUCAGACUUACUUUACCCGUUUUUAAUCCUCCCAUAAUCCUCUCAGCACCACUGUCUGCACCACUGUGGGCACUCGUUUUGAAGCAUUCUUUUCCAAAUACAGUCUUGCCCAUCGGUUUAUAUAGUGCAUUUAGUGCCUGUUCUGUACCAGACGCUAUGCUAGAUACUGAGGUUAAAGAUAUGAGCCCCUUGUUCCCAAGGAGCCCACGGUCCUCUUUUUUCCUCAGAAAUAAGGUCACUUAGGGCAGGAAUCAAUUCUACCAAUUUAUAUCACCCCCAGUGGGCCAAGUACAGGGUUAUAGGCCCAGAGCCCUUGCACAGUGAUGAGUCGCAUGGAUUCAAGGGAACGGUCCUGGAUCACCUGCCUAUAGGAAGCCUGAAUUGGGAACAUGGCCAAGGAUACACUCUAGAACUUCUCUGUCCAAUAUGGUAGCUACAAGCCAAGUGUGGAUAUUUACAUUUAAAUUAAUUAAAACUACAUUGUAUAAAGUUCAGUUCCUCGGUUUCUCUAGCCACAUUUCAAGAACAUUUCCACUGCAGAAAGUUCUAUGUGGCAGCCCUCUUCCAGAGUCCUUACAUAACUCAGGCUUCUUUCAAACUGCAAAGCAGAGUUUCCAUACGCCAUCCCUGGGUUGCCUGGACAGCCUUUUCUAAAGCUCCCUUGAUCCAGCAAGCAAGCUCUCUGAGAACUGUGGCCUACCUCAACAUAUGUGUUAAGUUGGACCCGUAAUACUUUCCCCUCUGUUCAGCCUAAGCCUCCCCGAUCCUUCAAGGUCCAACUCAAGUGUCCUUUCCUCAACUCCCCCUGCCCUCCUCUUCUGUGAAUGUAUGUACUUGAAUCUAUAGCAUGCACCCAAGUUGAUGAUAUGUUGAAUUAUUUUACUCUCUACAGUGCUGUUCCACAAGGUGUGCAAACCACUGACUGCACACAGGCACUCCGUGGAGGUGGUAUGGGGGACUGAGACUCAACCCACCCUCCACUGCCUCAGCUGUGCACCUUGGCACGGGUGCAUCUCCCUGGAGGAAGUGUCCUUUUUCUAAUUUGCACGAAGGAGUCUAUAGGCUGGUGGCAGCCUUGGUUUUCUAACCAUCUUGAGGGCAUAAGUCUUGUCUGCCACACAAGACAGCAGCUCUGUGGAGGAAGUGACCUGGUCUUCUGUCUCACCAGUCACACCCCACUCAAGGCCACAUACCACAGACACAAGGAAGCCACAAGGGGCACUCCUGGAACUCACAGUUCUGGUGACUCUUGGUCAUGUUCUCGGAGUCUAGCGCAUGGUAGAAUUCAUAGGCUGAGCGGCCAAGCAGCUCCUCAGGGUGGUAACCAAUCAGUUCUGUGAUUCUGAGUUUUUAAAAAGGCAGCAUGUAAGGAAGAAAGACCAUAUUAACUUAGCACAGCAUGUGGGCAGGAGCUAACCCCAGAAGGCAAAUCAAACACACACAUGCAGAUGAACACAAUCCAGACUUUCUUGUUGUACCAUGUAUCCAAGCAAAAGAACACUGUGCUCAAUCUACAGUUGCAGGUUUAACCAAACCCCUGUUGUUCCUGCCCUUCCUGAAGCCAUGUUUGGGAGGAGAGAAAAGCACCAGUUCUGAGGACUCCCUCUCCCCACCACCCCGGUACACACAUAUGUCUGUUCUCCAAGAACCACUGGAAGGGGCUCACCCCAAGUUUUUGCAGAUGAGGGAGUAGACAUCCAGGACGGGCAGACAAUUUGCUCGAUGCCUACACAGGUGUCCAGGGACAGAGCAAGAAUGAAAACUGGGGCCUCCAGUUGCUACAUCAAGCUCAUUCUAGUAGAAGGCAGUAUAAAUGAAACAUGAAAAUUAUGUGGCCCCAGGUAGAGCCACCUUUGUCUCUGUGUCAACCAGCACGUGAGAGGGAGUCCAGGCAGGCAGAACCCGUCUGUGCUUAAACCUUCACUUUUCUGCAGGUCCUGCCUGUGACCUCAGGUGCCCUCGGACACUUUCUACUUGUGCCUCACAUUUCAAGGAAACGAGGGAGGCAAGGAGGUGCUGAGAGGAAGAAAUAUUAAAUCAUAGUCAUAGAAAUGUGCCUUAUUAUACUCUAAUAGGCAGCUCAGAUGACACCACUGGCUGUCAUUUCAGUGUCCCUUUCUUCAUUCUGUAAGGUAUCUGGUUUUGAUGGGAAGUGGGCAGAGGAAAGGGCAAAUGUGGAGAACCAUGAAGAAUCACUUAACAUUCUUAGGACCCUUUGUUUUGUGCUGUAAUCACUAAAAUAAACAAAGCCCUGCCUAAGAACCACCAGGUUGGCCGCUUUACCCAAUAUCAUGUCCUAUCCUAGGCUAUAUAAUACCUCCAUAUUAUCUCUCAAAAUCUUGGUUCUCUCACAGACUUUAAAUAAUGGCUUCACUGUCUUGUUUACUUGGCCUAUCACAAGUUAGAAGUGAUGCCACAGUCUCAUUAUUACAACUCUACUUCAGAAGGCAUGACUCCUGGAUACAGUCCUAUAAUUUAUCCUUGUAGGGGAUCAAUAACACGGAGAGGAAAGCAGAAGCAGAAAGCAGAAGCAGUGGCUCCUCAUUUCCUGUCUCUGCUCUAAACCCACCCCCCAAACAGGUCAACUUGCAUACAUCUGUCAGACCAAAUUGCCCUAAAAUACUACUUGCAACCUGCCAUACUCUUAUUUAAGUAUCUACAGCUUUCACUUUUGCCAACCACACCAACAGUAAAUGCUGCGUAACUUCCAAGUCCCCCCAGAACCUACUCUCCAUCUUUUGAGCAAUUUGAUUUUCAACUCAUCUGUAAAAUGUUAUGUACCCUCUGUCAUGGAAGACCCCUCUCCCCUCAGUUCCCUAUGCCUGGAAAACUCAUUCUUGCUGCAGAAGCUUUAUGCCUUCUCUUCUCCCCUCUUCUCCAAGCCCUGACACCUCCAGGACCAGCUAAAGCCUCAUCUUCUCCACAGAGCCCUCUCCAGUUCCUCCAGCACAACGUCUCUCGUGAAGUCCUAAGGAGUAUGCACAAUAUUACAGAAAAUUAUGCAUUUGUCUCCUCACAUCCUAGGCUGUCAACCCCUGAACUCAGGGACCACUUUCUCCUUUUGCUUCCUCUAUAACGGGUGCUUAGUAAAAACCUCAACAGCUGACCAGUAGAUUGAUUUUCUCUUUGAACCUACGGUACAAACAGACACCUGUUUAUCCCAGCACUGCUAAGGAACCUGGGCACUAAGGAUCUACUUUUUUUUUCUAGAAUAAUAUGAUUAACUGUCUCAAUGUGUGUGCGCACACAUGCACGCGCACACACACACACACAGAACCUGUCAUGAUAGUCUAUCCAUCCUUUCUUCAUUCUGUAAGUCAUCUGGUUUUGAAGUGGGCAGAGAAGAGGCAAGUUCUCUGCUUGGGUGAGAAUUUGGGGGUUAAAGCCUUUGUCAAACAAGGAGCAGCUCAACAGGGCUGAGAGGCUUAGGUCUCAGCUGAUUCAGCCCAGUGGAGAUUUCUCCAGUGAGAUCCUAGCAGCUCAUUUGUGCCAGCCAGCCAGUCUCAGAGCAGAAGGAUCUGUCCCGUCGCUUGGCCCUGAGCAGAGAGGUCUCUGAACUCAUUAGCAAUGGAUACAUUAUCUGGCAACCUGACCCUGGGGCUGGCGCCCAAGUACACCUUGGCAAAGGUGGAGACUGGGGGGAACAAGGAGACAGAACAGUGCUGGUCCUACGAUCAAAUGGCUUCGCUGCUGGGUCGGAUGACUUUCAAGCUUAGCCUGGGAACUAGAACUGCAUGAGUAAGCCCUGCUAACAAUGGUCUGGCCAUCUGCAGGCUCACUGACUUGCCAGAUAAACUGCUUCUGUUCCUGGGCAGGUCUAGAAUUUUCUAGAGACCCUCCAAAAUGAGCCUACUGGCAUUCUAGGAAAGAUGUCUUUCUACUCUCUGAAGGAAUUAAAUUUCCUUUCGAGAUUAGAAUCUUUAAAUUAAAAUGUUCAAAGUAGAUGUUUAUUAUAAUCUGCCUCAUAAUAAAAUGUUUAUCUAAUUAAUGUAUCAUCCAUUCAAAGGCAUACAAUGGGCAUGUUUUGGAAGUGGAAAAACAAACCUAGAUUUCAGAACUGCCAGAUAUCUUCCCAGUAGCAGCUUUCAUUUAUCUUGUCAACUAAAAUAAAUAUUUAAUGUCUUUCUUCAUUCCUUUAAACAGACUACUAUAAAAACUGGGAAAUACACCACAUCCCAAACACAAUUGAAGAACAUUUGAGUUGUCAAACUUCACAAAGCCAGGAAACCCCAACUUAAAGCUCAUGGUCAUUCGCCCCCACGUGCAGGCACGUAGACGCCAGUGGGGAGGUUAAUGAACCGAGCUUGUUUAUAAGGUCGCUCCUACGGCACACAAGGGCCUUCCCCGCUCAUUUCCCCCAGGCUCCAGACAAGCCUUCCGAGCUGGGCUGUGAUAACACAAGUUCAUCUGCUCUCUCCAUCAGGGGCCAGGGAACUAUUUUUUUUUCUUUCUUUCUAAUUAAGGACCCCUGACUCACUGGGAAAAAGAAAAUCAGUUUGAGGUCACCCGUAAAUUUCAAAGUCAACUCAGUAGGGCUGUUCUAAGAGAAGAGAGAAAUGUACAAGGACUUAAUUCACCAGAUUUCAAACAUAAGAACAGAGGAUACUUUUUAAUAAUAAAGUCAAAAAACAGCAGACCAAGGAUGCAGUGAGGAGAGAGAUGCAGAUAGAUAGUCAGCCACAAGGAGGCAGAGGAAGGAUGAAAGGAAAUAGAAAAUACAGCUUUAAAGGGGGUUGUUAAAUUCUGAAGUUGGUGUUACCCCAAGUAAAUACGUGGGUCAGCUCUCUGAGCACUGGACUUCAGAGUGAGAUGUGCCUUCAAAAUGUAAAAUGAAUGAUUCAUUGCUCUUUACUCUCAAAACUGUUUAGAAGCUCUAUUCAAAAUACACCACCUACAGCAGAGUGCUCGCAAAAAAAUUAUUCUCUUGGCUACAGCGUGAGUGCUGCCACCUCAAGUGGCAGAAAGAAAUCCACCCACAGGCCUGAGAAGGCUCGCUCUUCUUCCCCGCAUGUAAUCGCCAGCACCCGUCCACGUGCGGUGCAGCGCCACGGUGCCUGACUUCAGAUGCCACCGCCUGGAGUCACGCAAGAUCUGGCUGCAGUUUUUACCCCUGUUCCCUACACGAGUAAAGGAUUUGCUAGGUAAAUUAAUCAUGUAAGCAAGAUGGUGAGAGAGUAUUUAAACUGUUUAAGAGGAUGAAAGUUUUAAGUACUUUGUAACCACCUAUUUGUUUUCCAAAGAAUGUAUCUGCUAAUAAAUACUUCAAGUCGGCUUGCUUUCCUUCCACACUCUGCCCAUCGCCUCUCCUCAGCACCCCGUGAUUUAUCUCAUUUUGGUUUCUAUAUGUGCUUAUAAGCUUUGACACUGCGUUUCCUUACUAAUAUGUACGCUGUUCACUAACUCAGAUUUCAGUGCCUUCGGUUGGUUUUAAUAUAUUUUCAUCUAGAUUUUGUUUGCUUUAAACAGUACUUAAGCCUUGUGUUUUCCUCAAAUACUACAUGGUUAUAUGAAAUCUAUACAACCAGCUCUGUAAUUAACGGGAAAUCCAUUUCUAUCCUGUCUGUGGAGUGUUACAGGGUACCUGUAGGGGUAAGAGUAUACAUAGGAAGGUUGUGUGUGUGUUUUACCACUUAUGGCUCUUUAUAGUUCUCCUUACUGACAUUAUCUUUAGGAUCCUCAACGUUUCCCUCACUUUCACCAUUUUUACUUAUUCUCAACUUCUUUGUAGAAAAACAAUUCACCAUAAAUUUAUCCACAGAACUUGGAAUGUAGGCAUCUUUAUUCAACUGUAACUCCUGAUAUUAAUAUGUCCUAUGUUCCCUAAAUGCAAUGACAAAACAGGGUUGCCCUAAAGUUCUUUACCUGUAAAAAUUGUAUGACCCUCUUUGUUGAUUUGAAAUUUUUACUGUAAUUUUGAAACCUCUUCCCCUGGUGAUACUGCUCCUAUCCACAUAAUUUGGUUUUAUAAUUUAUUUCUAAGAUACAGGAAGACUCCUACAACUGACAAAAUCGCAGUGGGAUUAUAUGAUAAUUAGAAAGGCCUGGCCUCUAUCUCCCUGACGGCUUGGCUUCCUUCACAGUUACCUCUUUCACCACUAGAUGGCACCUCCACAUGAAUUUAAGAACCACCCUAUUUUAAAGUUAAACUACUUGGGAACAACUUUUGUCUUCCUUUUGGGUAAAUGGAAUGUUGUAUUUUGUACCAUUCACUGUGGUUUCAUUAAAUGGCUUAUGUCUCAAACUCUCAACUCCUGAAGAUCAGGAAUCAUCUCUUUUACUUUGAUGUAAUGGUCUCUGGCACACAGUUACAUAGCAGAUGCACAGUAAAUGACAGUUCGUAACUGGUUGCUCAGUAUUUCGGGAAACAGAGUAUAUUGCCUAUGUUUGAGUCGUAAAUGAAGAAGAGAUCAUUAAUUCCAUUAAUAAUCAGGAUAUUUUUCUUUUACCCUGCUACUCAACUUGCUCCCCUUGUCUAGAGCAGUUGACCAUAGGUACAUAAAUGUGACCGACAUGAAUUGUUAUGAAAUUUACUUUUAAAAGUAUUUACUAUUUUAAAAACAAUUAAUGCAGGACUUAAUAUGGUACUCUGAUCCCUCAUUAACAGGAGGACAAAUGCAUUUUGAACCAUCUGUAUUCCUUUAUUCUAUUUCAGAUGUUUCAGAAUAGGUUGUUUCAGAUUCAACUGAUUUGACCUGAGAGUUCAAUGUAAAAUUAGAGUUGUCUUUUCUCUCCCUUCUUUCCUGUCGGUUUUCAUCUUUUUCUCCAUGACCCUUUUUCUUUUUUUGCUUGAUUGUGUCUGUGGUCUCAGUAUAUAUAAGACAAGUACCAAACUGCUUCAAAAUUGAUUUUGUGGAUUCUAACUGCCAUACAUUUUCUUCAGAUUCUAACUUUUCUUGUAGGAAAACAAUCCCCUUUGUGGGAAUCACAGCACCUUGUGUGUCUCAGAUGUCAUUAAACCUAGUGAAUUUCCUGAUUAAAAUGGAGAACCCCUCACCCCAUUAGGUAUCUUGGACAGGCAUUGGUUUUUGCAGGAUUUGUCUCUAAAGGGGAAUUGAGGCGGAGAGUGUAUAUAUGUGUGCAUGUGCAUAUGCUUCUCCCCAUCCCACCACAAAGAGUGAAAACAAAACAAGCUACCAAAACCAAAAAUAUCUCAGGCCUCAUCAAAGCAAUUAAGAUAUAACACUUAGGGAUUAAGGACUUAAAAUAGUCACUUCAUCAACUGUCUAAGCCAUGUCUGUGCCCUUGUUAACUAAUCUGCUAAUCGGUUAAACACAACUUCUGUGUGACACAGCAUUCUAUGUCUUUAAAUGCUUCUACAUGCAGCUCUCCAGCACCACUGAAUUCAGACUUGGGGCCAUGUAAUUAGGUUUCUUGAAAGGCAAGAUUUUGCUGAAAAUGCAGUGUGUCUCGCAGAACUUAUAAGCAAUAUCACCCUCUACAUUAUGAGUCACAAAGCCCUAAAUCACGAGGCUUGAUACUUCCUUUAAGCCAGAAGCUACUCUGGCUACCAGCCCUGAGCCAAACUAAGAAGUCAGCACAGCAUCUUUCCCCUUUCUAUGUACAUUUCCUCUCCAGCCACAUUUAGACAUCCAAUUCCUUGUGUUUCUCCCCCUCUUCUUUUGUCCAAAGGUUAGUACCUUCAGAAAAUUACCUGAAACUCAUUUAAACCAAGAUAAUGAAUAAAGGAUAAGGCUGAAUUACCCCUUCCAGAGGAUUUCUUCUCACUGUAACAAGGAUCAAAAUCUUAAGCUUAAAAAAAAUCUCUUUUCUAUUAUGUAGGGAUGCCAAGUUAUUUUCUAGGACAGUAGGGUUUUCCCAGUGCUUAUGGAGUUAUGUUACGGAUGUGCUUCAUUCACCAGGGUGAAGCACGUAUCUGACUUUCAUCAUCCCCAGCACUAUAUAUGCUCCCAGGCUAUAUGGCUACGUCGGCUUGAGCCACUUCACCUCAAAGCCAGUGACACAGGGGCUAUGCAGUGGGAUUGUCCAUGUUAUCUCACAAGACUACUGAGGUACACAAAGCUGUGUCUUCUGCCCAGAAUGUUCACCUGAAUACAAAGACUGCAUCUGAUAAAUAACCUUACCUAUAACAUGGAUUCCUGCAGUGCCUGUCACUAAAAGUGCAAUCUUCUUCUUGAACCACCAUCAUUAUCACCACCACCACCACCACCACCACCACCACCACCACCACCACUACCACCACCACCACCACCACCACUAACAAUUACAAUAAAUGGUGACUGUGUCGAAGUUCCAGGACGGAAGGCUUCAUGCAUGACAUUUUCUCCCUAUGAGGUUAGAGCAUUUCUUUCUACUUAUAUAACUACCCACUAGCUCCAAAGGCUGUGAAUCCUGGCCCUACUGUGGUCAGAACUGAAGGACAGGAAUGACUCAAGGAUACUUUUACAAAAGUUCUGAAAUUGUGCCACAAGUGGUGGCCAACUCUAAGAAGGGGCGACCAACCAACACCAGGCCGGUCUGGAAUCAGAGGAGAGAAACCCCAUCCUGGAGAGGAGGGUCCCUCCCAUGAAGAAACCAGAUGCCCUUGGGAUGUCCAGCUGAUAAGAGAAAAGUGGGUAGGCCUAGGGGAGGCUGAGCAGGAGCUUUUUUUCCUGGGGUUCCAUGGUUUCCUGCUAGCUGAGGAAGACAAGGCAGAUUCUUGCUGAUCUGGGGGUCAGAUUCUUCCUCUUCCUGCCCCCCAGCCACUAACUGCCUUCAGAAGUGGUUUCAGCUCCUUGAGUUUAGUGGAAGAUUUUGCUUUGGAGGAGGCCAAGGACAGGAAGUAAGAUAUAAGCAAUAACAAGAAGCCUCACAUGUGUUGUGGUGUCUGGACUUCUCAAAGUGCUUGCACAGCCAUUAUCUCAUUUUACAGUGACCCCAUGAAACAGGUUAGAAAGUGUUAUCUCUAUUUUGGAGAAGGGGAAACUGAGAUCUGAGGGUUUCCUGAGGAGAAACCCUAGAAGAUGAGAGAAGAGUGGCAAAGAGUUGGGGGUGGCAAAGAGCUGCCACAGGAACUGUCACCCUGGGACACAUGGCGGCUCUAGAUGCUGCAGAAAGCUGAGGUCAGGCAGGGAGAUCUCUGCCAGGAAGGGCGCAUGCGGGGGGUGCUGCUCAGCAAGCCCCAGUGGCGCUUACUCAAGCCAGGCCUACCCUGGGCCCAGUCUUCUGCAUUUCCUUCCCUCCCUGGGGCCGGCCAUUGCUCCGGGCAUCUGUUCUCCCCAUCUUCCUCCUCCUACCUCCCAUCAUCAGGCUCCACAGUCCCAGAGGCAGGGCUGGUGGGGGAGUUAGGAGCUGUAGGGUAUCUAAAUACUCCCUCCUAUGACAACCCCAGUCUCUUCCCCACCUGCUUCAAUCUUCUAAAUGAGCUAAGAACCCGAGAUGGCAUGACAUGCCUAAGCAGUCUUAGGCACUCUUUCAACAACUCUAAUAAAGGUGAUAAUAAGAGCUAACACUGAACAUUUAUUACUAAAUUUGAACCUAAGCCAUCUAGUCCUGAAGCCCAUGCUCUUAAUCACUACUGUGUCUCCUAAGAGACACUGGGCCUGGCACUGGGGGGUUAGCAUCUGGCUCAGCUACCUUCAUCUUCUUCAAAAUGGCUGGACACUGGCCGGAAUGGAGUUGCAUGCAGGAAGGAACAAGGCGGAGGGAAAGGCUCAGUCAGUAAUGGAAGAGGGUCAGUCUCCAGGGCAGAAGCUGAUGCUCCUUACUGGCCUCUGAAGCAGGAGUACAGAUGGAAGUCUCUAGACUCUUUCUCCUGGGGCAGAAGACUGCCUUGAGAAUUUCCUCAGGAGCCUGAUACACGUAUGGAGAAAUAUGUUCACACCACAAUGAUGAGAAGAGUUGCACACCAGGAAAGCUCUGCAGAUGGACCCUGAGGCUCUGUCAAUGGGAGACCACCAAAUACAGUACCGGGAACCUCUGAGGGGCACUGAUGCAAUGAAACAGUGGCACAGGUCCACGAACAUGCACCCGGCAAUACCACGUCUAUGUUCAGUUCCACACCUUUAAUACAGGCACAACUCCCCACACACACAGGUAAGACCCAUCUCUGCCCACAGCAUACACACCCAUGGCCCCCUACCUGUCAUCACAGUAGGUGAACUUCAUGUCCAUGCUGUGGCGGCUCAGGAAGGUCUUGCUAUCCAGGGGGAUGUCCAUGUGGGAUGGGUGCUGGAUUGGUUCACACAUGAUGAUGAGGCAGGACAGCAGGGGCUCCUUGUAGCCACACAGACUAUUGUGAGGAGGGCAGUUGUUGUAGACUUUCACCUGGCCCGUGCAGUGCAAGACCUGAGACAGGCGUGGAAGGGUCAGACAUGGAGCCGAGAGUGCUGGGGGUGGGGGUAGGGCCUUAGGCAUCCCCUGCACCGCCGUUACCCUACACCUGGGACUCCAACCCAGGCCUGAUGUUGCCCUACCUUCCAGGUGGCUGACUUGAGGUUGACAGUACGGCCUCUGUUGGUGACCGUGCACUUCAUCCUCAUGAAGAAGUCCCGCUCUGUGGACAUGUCUUUGCUUUUUUUCCCAAAACCAGAGCCUGGAUGUGGAAGGAUGGGAAGAACCAGCUGAAGUCAGUUUUAUAUGGAUAUUCAUGAGAGGGGCCCAGCUGCAGUUUUUCUUGGCAGCCUAUUGUUUAUAUUUUCCAAAUAUCUGCUCUCUUAGCACCUGUGGUCUGCCAUCAACACUGAGCUCCAUCAUGGCCUGUGAACUAAUGGUUCCCACUCUCAAGCUUAUCUCCUCAACUGGAGCAUAAACUCCCACAAGGGAGGAGCUGCUCCAUCAUUUGAUUUCCCAUUGCAUCUGGAACAUGGUCAGUGGUGCCUUCAGAGCAGCGACACAACGACUGCCUAUCAGCCACUAACUCAGCCACCCUUUCCUGGGGCAGGCCCAGGUCUUCUCGCAGAAAUUCCAAGGGACAGUCUGAGUGAGGCCACAGUUACUCCAAGGGUGUAAGCCUUCCUCACAGGUUAGAAAUGUCUCUCCGACACUCCCGUCUUUCCUUUAUAACCUGUCUCUCAGGAGGAAUUUAACCCCUCCUGUACCCCAUUUGCAAACUGCAAUAGCUGUGUUCAGGAUACCAUGCCAUUAGCUUUGUCCCUGAAGUGACAUAUGUAUCAAGGCUCUAGAGAGAACUCUGGUACGAAUCUCCUUACAGUGGACUUGGUGAGCAAGUCCACUUUAUGGAUUAACUCAACCUGGAUCAUAUCCUCUCUCUCAGCAAAAAUUAAAUCACCAAGACCAGCAAUAUAGCUUACUUCCUUAUAGUUGCCAAACAGCCUCCCGAUUCAGAACCAUUUUCCACUUUUUGUAAAACAAAGUAAUGAAGAGUGCCAGCUGAAUCCCACUUGUCUGUGUCUAAAUCCUGCCUACACCACCAUCUCUGGUACCUACUUUCAAAGAUAUAAUCCUGCCCCCUACCCAGCAUCAUAGAACAAUCUAGAGCCUUGUUUCGAAUAGUCACACUCCUUCCUCCAGGAACAGUCACCAGCCCCUGCACUUAAACUUCCAGAGGAUCUUGACUGACAUAUUCCUGAAGAGUUAUGUGUCAAAGGAACUGUGGCACCCUUGAACAAAACUUCAACAUCCUUAGGGGACCCCACUCAGUAACAGACUGAAUAGUGAAUUUUUUUAAAAAAGAGAGAACAUUCCUUCAUCACGAUUAUAAAACCAUUUCUCCCAUACCAAAUUAUGAUUCUUGCCAUUUUAAUUUUCAGAGGUGGGGUUAGCAUACAAUGAGAUAUACCUGUAUCUUGGGAUCUGGCCCCACCACCAGGACCAGACCAGUUGUUGGGUAUAAGGGGGCUGGAGGGAUUCAUUUGUGGCUGUUGCUGGGGUAUUAUUGAGGCCUCUUAACUUGCUAACCUCUGGAUUCUCCCCAUGCUGACAUUUGAUCUUUUUUUUUUUUUUUUUUUUUUUUGAGACAGAAUCUUGCUCUGUCGCCAGGCUGGAGUGCAGUGGCGUGAUCUUGGCUCACUGCAACCUCUGCCUCCUGGGUUCAAGUGAUUCUCCUGCCUCAGCCUCCCAAGUAGCUGGGACUACAGGCACGCGCCACCACGCCCAGCUAAUUUUUGUAUUUUUGGUAGAGAUGGGGUUUCACCAUGUUGGCCAGGAUGGUCUCGAUCUCUUGAUCUCGUGAUCCACCCACCUUGGCCUCCGAAAGUCCUGGGAUUACAGGCGUGAGCCACCGUGCCUGGCCUUGUUCAUUCUUUCUAAACACUGCUCCACACAGAUCACUCCACCCCUGCACAGAAACCUUCAAUAGCUCCCCAUUGUCUAUGGAAUAAAGUUCAAGGCCCUCCACCUGGCCUUCAAAGCCUUCCACAAUCUGCCUCAUGGCUUUCUUUUCCUCUAGGAACUCACACUAACCCUUUAGGUCUAGAUCACGAGUCCACCCAUAGGCUGGCACCUUCAGUGAAGAUUUGCUGUUGCAUUGAGUUUGACUGAUCCCAAGUCCUCAAUAUGCAGAUCAAGAGAUCUAAAGUUCUACUCAGAUAAUUAGAGGUCACUUGGCUGUGAAUCAUGGCACUUGAGAACUGAAAGGUUGUCGCCUUUGCCUAGUCCAAUACCAUCAAUUUGAAAAGAAAGACUCUGAGGAACAGAGAAGUAGGGUACUUGCUUCUGGUCACAGACUCAAACUCAGACUAUGGUCAGUGGCUGAACUGACACUAAGAACCCAAAGGCCAAAGGGUUUCUGGAGUACAGAAGAAAUCAGUCUUUGGUUUUCUCAGGCUUUCUCAGGCUUCAAGCACCUACCCAUGCAGAACAUGAAUCCUCUUUUUAGAGAGCUUUAGAAAGUCUGGUAGCCCUUUCCCCACAGAACCAGACAAGACACUGAGCAGCCUACAGGGUGCUCUCUGCCAGUGUACCCUAGGACCCAGGUGGUCUAAGGCCUGCAGAAGAGAGAGCAGAGGAGCUGGGUGAGGGAGCUGUGGCAGUGGUAGAAGAGGAGGUGGUUGUGAUUCUGUACUUUGCAGGCCCAAAUGUGGACUGCAGACUCAGUCUGUAAUAGGGUGGAGGUGAGCCAAUGAAGUGUCUGUUUUUGCAGCGUGUGUGGUAAUAAGAGCCAAACCUUGUAGGCUUAGCCUCACUGCCUCUGUUAUUCAGGCUGGACAAGCACAAGCCCCAUGGCAGUGACAGGUGAGGUUGUUAAAGAGGACAUCUAGACAUGCACAGAAUCUCCCCAGACCAGUGACAGAAUCUCAGGUUUGGAAGGGACCUUGACAGUCAUUAAGCCCCAAUUCUGACCAAAGCUUCAGUCCUCUUAACAAUGUCCCUAUUCAUGCCUUUGUUGAAUGGCCACAGUUACAAGACAGGAAGCUCCACUGCCAUUGCAACCAUUGCAACGUGCUUUCUGCCUGUGUGGGUCCUCUCAUCUACUGGCACCUGCUGGGUAUCCCCAUGGGUAAGGUCCUGAAUGCUACAUCUUUUUAAACCUCUUCUCCAUCAAAACCUACUUGACCUGCGUCUCAUCAGGGUACCAUUUCCUGUGGUAGCUCUUCUCCAAAAGUAGCUCCAACAAGCCAUGCCUUUUGACACUCAUGGCUUCGUGUAGUUUCCUCCCACAAUGAGCCAGGGCUGGCCUGUAACAUGCUCUAACCAACAAGAUGGGGCAGAAGUGAUGCUCUGCCAAUCUGGGGACAAAGCCUUCAGAAGGCCUGGCAGCUUCCACUUUAGUGCUUCUGGGAGCCCUAAACUGCCACGUAAGAUGUCUGGCUACCCUAGAGACACCAUAUGGAGAGGGAGAGUCUCUGAGUCUCCAUAGAGUGAGAGAACAGUCCUGUUGUCCCAGCAUGCCAACUGAGUCCAGGGUUCCAGCCACCUGCCACAAGGUCCCAGACGUGUGUGAGCUAUCCUGAUCACCCCAGCCUAGUCUGGCCCCCAGAUGACUGCAGCCCAGCUGACAUCACAUGGAGUACAAGACCCACCCACUGAACCCACAGAACCCUGGGAGAUAAUCAUCAAAGCCCUAUGUUAUAGGUGGUUUGUUAGACAGCAAUAGAUAACUACAGUAGUUACUAUGAGCACUUUGGCACAGACUAGUUCCUCAUUGGUUUGGGUGGUGUCAUUUGGCAGAGAUGCUUGACUCUUGGGUGAUGAAACCUCCUAGAGACAGUGUCCUAACCCAAAGGUGUCCCCUAGUAGUGGGACACCAGGCACCAUGCAGGGCCAGCAGGAGAUAUUUCUGAGUACUGGAUCCUCUCAAUGCCCCAAUCUCAUCUCACAGGCUACAUACUUAAAUUUUUUAAGGACAUCCAUUUUUCCUGCAUCACAAGGGCCAUGAGCUAUCUCCCUUAUACCCGUAGACAAAGGGGAGGCAGAUUCCCACCCAGUGGGGGCAAGAAGGAAGUAAACACAAUUAAGGAUACCAUUUUUGAGACUCAGGUUCUCACGAAUCUCCUCAUGGUCGCAGGGAUGAGUGAAGUCAAAGAUACUAUGUCCUGUUAGCUCCACCUGUUUCAAAAACAAGGUUAGGCAUCAUUAUUCCUAACAGUGAAGUAAAAGACUCCAAGAGUAAGCUGAGCCACCUUCCAGAUUUGGAGGCAGGGAGGAGACUGAAUUGGGUUUUCUCAUAAUCCCAGUCCAGUGUCAGGUCCACAGACAGAAAGAUGUAAUCGGGGACUACUGAUGAUGACAGAGACUUGGUCUGUUAAUGAGUCAGUAGAGAGCUGUCUACCAGGAUGGACAUGAGCAAAGCCAAACCCAAUGCUUGGGGGUGGGAGCGUGGCCUGAGGCGUGUGGCCUGAGGUCAGCGAGGGUCACCGUGGGCAUUUGCAGGGAGAGGUCAAGUGGGAUUGUGGCUAGCACCUUCCACUCAUUUCUACCCCCAAAUGGAAACAUUUCUUCUUUUGAAAGAGAUAGAGGAGGGUGUCACCUGUGUAAGUCCCAUGAACUUGCUGAUGUUUUCUGACAGAAAGAUCAUGUCGCCAUCUUGGGUCACCACGGCAAUGAAACCCUCCAAGGCUUUCAGGUACAAGUUGUCCAUCUGCUGGUCAGCUUCGGCUUCGGACUCGUUUUCAGAGCAAACUGGAAAGGGGGGGGGGUGGGACAGCUUGCAUGAAUGUGGAGUGAAAACAGAUGGGACUGGCACAGAUAGGCAUUUGCCAGGGAUGGUGCAAAGGCAUUGGGUGGACUUUUCUGGAAACGCAUACUGCCAACCAUCUGAAUGUCUGCCUCCGCCUGGCAGCAGGCACCACUGCACAGAGGACACCCUGACGGGAGCUGUGAGGACAGUGUGCUUGUUGUGACAACAGUACUUCUGGCACUAGUAAUGAGAGCAGUAGGAGCUGCUGUGUGAGUGGUUCAGGGUGGAAGUUUUCCCAAGCUGCCCCCAGCAACCACCUGUACAGCCUAUAGACUCAGCUCUUGUCCCAGACCACAAAAACCUUUUAGGCCCCAGGCCUUUGGCUGUUAUACACAGACCAUAGACUUUAUUUCAGCCCUCUAGCCCUCUUCUCCUAGUUCAUUAUUUAUCUCCAAAGACAUUUACUUAUGAAAAUCUGUAUUUAUCCAGUGCAAACAUCAAUCAAAGUAUGCCUGAAUAUAAUGGUAGUCGUAGUAGUAGGAACAAAUUUUAGCUGCUAAUAUAUACUGCAAUUACUACAUGAAAGGUACUGCACUAAGCAUGCUAUGUAAUCUUCACAGUGACCGACGAGGUAGCUACUAUUCUUAAUCUCAUUUUACAGAUGAAGUGUAGAGAGGUUAAGCCAUUUGUCCAAAGGUAUAAAGAUUGCAAAGCUAGCAAGCUUUGACAGCUGAAUCCAGAAGCCACACUCAACCAUUCAUAGGCUUUGGAGUUAAACACAGGUUCUAUUCCUAGAUCAGCCUCCUAUUAGGCUAUGACUCUGGAUAAGUAACAACCUCUUUGGAUAUCACUUUCCUCAUCAGCUAAAUGGGAAUAACAAUUUCCAUCUCUGAAUUGUAAGGAUAAGUACGUAAAGUGCCUAAAACUAUAAGAACAGUAAAUUCUUUCUUCUUUCUGCUCCAAGACAUGCACUACCCUCAAAUUGCUCAGAUCCCAGGUGAGGAAUAUGUAGCACUCAGAGAUGCAAAGCUAAAUAAAAGUUCAAGGGUGUCAUAGCUGGGCUCCCAAGGAAAAGUGUAGAUGGGAAGAGCUCUAAGGGGUCAGAGGACGAGGGGGUCGCUUUGGGGUGAUCACAGACAACUAACUGUUGCAAAGAAGAUUUGAAGAGUCUUAGAAAAAACAGAUUUCACUCUGUGGAAUGCAAGAAGGGCCUUCUGAACCAGACGGGAUUGUGUGAACACUGGAAAACACCUGGAGCAAGCUUCAGUCCUAGGACUGAAGAGAGGCCCAUCUGGCUGAAGAAGAGAAUCCAUUUCCCAGUCUCAGAGAUUGGGCUGGUGAGGCAGGCCCAGUGUCCUGGAGGGGCCUCACAUGUCAAGCAAAUGUGAUCAGAGGAGUGCAUCUCAAAGCACUGCUUUGGGGAGAUUAGUCUGGCAAUGGCGUACAGAAUGGUUUGGAGAGAGUGAAGCCCAGAGGUGCAAAACAGAGUGAGCAGGCAACUGCAUUCUCAGCAGGCCGUACAGGUGGUUGCUGGGUGCAGCCUAGGAAAACUUCCACCCGGAACCACCCACACUUUGAGUAUCCUGCCCUAUCUAGUAUACCUCUGCUAUCUGAAAAAUAUAGACUCGGCUCUUGUCCCAGACCAAAAGAAACCUCUUAGGCCCCAGGCCUUUGGUUGUUAUACACAAACCACAGACUUUAUUUCAGCCCUCUUCUCCUAGUUCAUUAUUUAACUCCAAAGACAUUUACUUAUGAAAAUUUGUAUUUAUCCAGUGCAAACAUCAAUCAAAAUAUGCCUCACUUGAUUUACAGAACAAGUGGAUGAGAGUAAUAUGUCAGUUGCAAACAUUAACAUUCACUGAACUAAAAGGAGUCUUCCAAAUGGAGACUAUUCUAAGGAAUGUAGAAUGCAAUUCAAUUUAUGGGCCACUUGGCCAGGGACACAUCAAUGCUGUGAAAUGUCGUUCAAGGGCCUUUCUGCAAGGGAACUGGGUUUCUCUUUUAUCUUUUUCCUGGAGCCUCUAAAUUUAAGCUUUGGGUUACCUGCUGUUAUUCCUCAAGAAGAACAAAUCCACAUUACAAGAUCUUCCUACCAAGAGGCUUCAGUGAAGGCAAAGGGGACCAGCUAUCUUUCAGGACACAGGAUCAGAGAACACGCCAGAGUCACAGAUGCCUUUUGCAGAGGAUCACAGUGGGUCCUGUCCGGGGAUGGGCAAGGCUUCAGAGCCAAGAGUUGGGUUGUACAGAGUAAUGCCCCGGUGGCUUUCCCUCUGUUCUGCUAAAAUGGUGAAACAAGGGAAAUUCUUUCCUCUGCACACCCUGGUUCAGGCGGCUAGCCUGGAGAGGGGAGAACCACAGGUCAUGGGAAUGACCUUACACCAUACACAUACGCACACCUGAUCCCUGCUUGGGGUUUCUGCUGAUACACCUGUUCUCUGCCAGCUCAUCAGCCCGCUGAAGCGAUGAUGCAAUGUCCCAGGUGUGGGCGAUGCCACUGUGAAUGUUAGCUUUCCCAGCUAAAAUCUUCAUUUGAACAGGGGCUUUAGGGGAGAAAAUGACUUAACUCAGUGCUUUCAAAUUUGAGUAUGCAUCAGAAUCAUCUAUAGGCCAGGCUGAAAGAAACAUUUCUGAGACCAGCACUGCUACAUAAUUUGCGUGGCCCAGUGCAAAAUAAAAAUGUGAGACCUCUCAUUGGAAAAAUUAAACCAAGCCUGAGAACUUUCUAAGUGUGGCGCCCUCUAAGACUGCCUGUGCUGCACGCCCAUGAAGCUGGCCCUGGACGGGCCCCUGCUGGGUUCCUGGUUCAGUAGAACUGAGAAUCUGUUUUUCUAAAAAGUUCCCAGGUGACGCUGACCCUGCUACUCAUAGGACCACAUGCUGAGAGCUAUGGCCUCAACUCAAAGAUCCUACGAGUGACCUUAAUUACCCUGUGCUGGCAGGUGGUGACUUAUUUUGGAGAUGAGUGAGGAGAGGUUUUCAGCGCCACUUCAAUCACACCAGAUAGGUGACCACCUUCUGUAGAUACACAGAGGCCAACCCUGUGGUUUCUAGCCAACCGAGAAGAUAUUUUCUCUUCAAUUUCUUUGAUCUCAGUGGUAACGCUGACUUCAAAAUCUGAAGUAAUCCCAAGACAACCCUAUUUGGGUUAACUAGUCCCAGAGGAAAUAGUCCUGCUUAAAAUUUCCUGUUUUUAACAGUUCCAACACAGCCAAACUGGUUUCCACCCAUGCCCAGUGCAUUUGCUUCCAGGAGGUGGCGAAAUCGGCUACAGCAGCAUCGGGUCAGCUGGCCUCCGGGAGGGAGAGGGGCAAUCUAGGGCCACGAAGGGUAACAGAAUGUCUUGGGACUGCGGUCACAAUGGCUGGAGGACCAGGAAGCCAGCAGGUUGGCCCCAGGGACCCUGUGACGGCAGGGCCGGGACAGGGUCUCUUCCCUCUGUGGAACUAGUUGCCCUCACAGCACCUGCUUGUUCUCCUGGGAGCUUCUGAAGGAACCUGGCCAGGUCACUCCCAGCUUGGAGCUGAGAGUGAAAACUGGGGAGCCAGGAGGUAGCCCCUCACCGUGGAGGCUCAUGUCACAAAUCUGCUGAAGACCCUUCUGCCUCUUCCCCUAUGAACAUCGUGUCUUCCCUGACGUACCAUUAAUAUCCUACUCAGUGUUACGGACAUGGGAAAAUGCACGCGCUCCCUACACCAUUAUUAAGUUUCUACUGUGUUCAUGUCUGCUUUAUGCUAGGCACAAGGUAAUCUGUCCAGAAGUGUCACUUACUGUGUGCUCAGUCCUGUCUUAAGGAGAAUCAGGGAUACUGAAAGGUGUAAGGGCAGUUCCUUCCCUCGGAAUCGACAGACUGGUGGGGAAGACAGAUAAACUGCUGUAAGGUGAUGCCACAAUCCAGCAUCAACUCUUGGUCAGAACAAAGUGAGGAGCCCAGAGUAGGUGCUCAAUAAGCCACCAAGUGGGUCUGUAAAUCAUCCUGGGCUCCAGAUCUCAGUUACUUGCUUCCGAGGACCCUUCAGGGUCUGACCCCAAAGACGAGAGAUGGCUCAUUAAAACCAGAGGUGCUCUGCUGAGAAAGUGCAUGCCCGUCCUGGGGAGCAUAACAAGAUUCUUUAAUGCUAAAAAUAGCCCCGGUAAACAGGCUUUGAUGACUCCCCACAGCCAGGAUAUGCGCGGGCUGAGGUUUUGGAGCACUUUUUCCGGAGCAACGCUCAUUUCCUUCAGGCAGCACCGCCCAUGUGGGGUGGGACUUCCUGGGCAGCAGGGGCUGUGCAUUGGGAGAGAGCAGGCAGAGUGGCAGAGCAGAGGCUCCUGAGUGGUCUCAGAGACCAGGCUGCCCCACGGUGCUGCUGGUCAGAAUGCUGGCUGCACUUUUAUUCCACCAAGGUCGCUUUGCCUCUUGUUUCCUACUCCGAGAAGUUCCAGGACUGCUCUGACUGUUCUUAAAGCCAUUCUGAUGGGGUCUUCCUGGUUCAGAUGUGCUUGGCAGUUACCACUUUGUGACCACCACAGGGGCCUUCCUUCUAAGGCUCUGCCUAAACUGAUUCCUCCCCUCCACCUGACCCACAGCCUGGCCCCUCAAACCCCGCCCUCCCGGAUGUGCAGACUGCAAGAGCAGUGCCAGUCAAGCCACAGGGAAAUCACUCUGGGAUCGCUUACUGGAUCCUUAGCCAUACCUUUAAAUGCCACCAUUAGCAGGCCUGGGCUCCUCUGAUGCCUUUGACAGAAGGCACUGUGUCCUUCCUGAUCUUCCUGGGCUCCCUGAGAGUCCUGAAAGUCCACUAGGAGAGAUUCAUGCCUUUGUUCUUUGCAUGUAUCUUACUAUCCUAUCUUGCCUCUCUGUAUUACCCUUGAUGUAGUACAGGACUGGGUUCAGCAAACACCUGUUGACUGACGAGACUUUUUAGUUUAAGUUAAAGGAAUGAUCUGAACAAAGUCAGUAUCUCUAGAAGAGACUGUAUAUUAGCUGUUCUCACCCAUUAACAUCCUCACAUGAAUCAGCUUAUUGAGUUCUUUCCAAACAGGACAGAAAAAGGCCUUGAUUUGGAGUGGGUGGGACAAAGGGGUGGAGGUAGGAGUGAAAGCCUGGGAAAAGAAGUCUGAAAGUGGGGUGUGAGAGGGUACCAGAACAUAUAUCUGCCUCCACAAUUCUUUCUUUGUCCCACUUUUCCUGCAUGGAAAGGUCAUAUCAAGCCUUAAAAACUUUAAAAUCACUUGUCUCACAUUUUAAUAUCCUUCCCUUAGUAGUCUAGAGAUCAGGAAAAUAUAAUCUCUUGUUAUAACUGAUGUCUUCGCUAAGCAAAUGAUGAUGAAUCCAUAAUGCAACUGACACUUCUCUUUAGAAACCUUGCUUCACGCUGAUCUCCAGGUCCAUGGAAAAUGAAUUUGAUUUCGCCAUGUAUGAGUUUGGGCAAGCCCAAAAUUCAGUUUUACAAUGAAAAGCAAAUUUUGUAUAUUCACUGCGGUUUAAUGCCCUCAGAAUGCAGAGUUGACCCUGAUUCGCUCAUGGUUUGUGGGGCUCAUCUUGAAAGAGGAUUUAGGACAAUCAAGUGGCAUUUCCACCGAUGUUCCUGUAAGAGUGUGUUCUGUCCUCAGCCCAGCGUGGCAGCUAAUAUCAUAAAGCUAUUGUUUCAGUUUGCUUCCUGUGAUACGAAUCUCAAUCGGCAGCCCAGACCCACAGCCUGAAUUUCUCAACGUUGAGGUUUCCUCUCCAACAUUCCCACACAGAACAGCCUACUGUGAAAAUCAAAGGGAAACGUGUUACUAAGUAAAGAGAAACUUUUCUAAAGAAAAACCUGGUAUUUUUUAGCCUUUUGAACUUUGAGGUAUGCAACCAGCUAUUUCCUAUUAUAAAGUGAGCCAAAAUUGGUACUCACCUUUGUUAGAAAUGCUUAAAUAAUGAAUGUGUGGGUUGUUUUGCCUUGGAAAAGUUUGACGACUCUGCAUUUUGAUAGAAAUUGCUAGAAAGUAGGUUAGAGGAUAGUAAGAAUUUACACUGGGUUUUCUUUUACAUCAUUUCUCCAGAAGCCUAUAUUUAAUAUAAAUCAAUAUAUUUGUUCAUAAUAAUUUUUAUUUCUAAGCUAUAACUUAUUGAGAGCUUAAUAUGUGGCAGGCUAGAGGAUAAGGCCUUUUAUAUCUGUUAUCUCAAUCCCCAAAUAACAUUGCAGGGUAAGCACCAUUAUUCCCUUUGUGCAGAUGAGGAAACUAAAGCUCAAAGAGAAAUUUUUACUACAUUGCAGAGAAAGAAGGCAGCCAAACUAAGAUUCCAAUGCAGGUCUAUCUGCCCACAAAUCCCGUACUCCUCUUCAUAACGCUACAUGUGUUGGAAAAGCAAAAUACGAUUUAGAAAGAAAAAGAUCUUGUCUUACAAUUUCUGAAAAUAACUUAACAAUCAGUCUAGCGAAUGUGUGGCAGGAGCCUGGGAGAGAAGUCAGAGAAAAGCGGGUGCUGAGAAACCAUCUCCUCCUCCCUGGGCUGUGCUCGUUUGGUGAGAAUUUCUCCUUCAAGGACAUCAGGACCACAUGGCCAAAAGUAGAAACUUUUUAUCCUUUUCCUUCAUUUCUUUCCUUGGGACAGAGAGGACCAGAGCUGACAGGCUAAAGGCUCUAGCUGGUCUAGGGCCGAGCCCAGCCAGAGGGCAGGCAAGUUUGUGUCCACAACUUUCAACAGGCUCCGGAGAUGGGAUAGAUAUGGGAUGUCCCACUGUGGCCACUCUGGUCCUAUCUCUGUGGGUGUGUUUAGCACACAGGGGUUCCCAUCAGCACAUGAGGGCUCACACCAGAACACACACAGGUAGAUGUGCUCAGGGAGUCCAGCCUAACUCGUGGCCUUUUCGAGGCCAACCUUUGAACCACUGAGAUGGACAGCCAGGCUCAGGAGGGCAAGCAUGCAAAACGAAGCCCUGCACUAGGGGGAAGGACAGGACAACUCUCUGAAUGUGUGAGGACCUCCUCCCCAUCACGCUGGCCCCCAGCUGCUUCUGUUGACCUUUGUUCCCCUACCUUCUCCCUUCCCCCACACCCCAUACCCCAGCCCUUGUCAGCAUCUUUGCCUGACCAGGUUUACAAAAUGCUCUUGCUGUCCCAUGUCUGUUUUCCCAUGGACCAAAAUUCAAAAGGACUUGAAUUCCAGGUGCAGGUUCACCAUGUGCUAAAUGUGUGACUUUGAGCAAUCUUAACCUGUCUGUGCUUCACUUAUCUGUGAAAUAAGGAGAAACACAACGAGUCCAAAUUUAGUCAGAGGCAUUCUACAAUUAAUAUACAGGUUGACUGUCCCUAAUCUGAAAACCUGAAAUCUGAAAUGCUCCAAAAUCCAACACAACAUUCAAAGGAAAUGCUCAUUGGACCAUUUCAAAUUUCAGAUUUUUGGGUUAGGGAUGCUCAACUGAUAAAUACAAUGCAAGCAUUCCAAAAUCUGAAAAAAUUAAAAAAUCAAAAGCACUUCUGCUCCCAAGCAUUUCGGAUAAGGGAUACUCAACCUGUAUUACCCCUUCUGGGGCUUUGUGUGGGUGGAGGAAUUGGGAGUGGUGAUGAAAGAAGCAAUGAUUAAUCCAAAGGAAUUAAUGUCUAAGAGCAAAAUCUCAAGUACCACAGCAGGAAAGCAGGGGAGAGGGUUCUCACUGUGGGGAAGGGGCCUCCAUCCAGUCAUUAAAUCCUCCACUGUCUACUCUUUUUAUGUAAAGAUGAUUGCAACAUUAGCCAACUUGGCCCUCAGUUAUCCAGUAAGACAAGCCUUUUUAAAGGGAGGGGUACACAAAUGCCCUGUGAUGGAGUCUCCCAGCCUUUCUUAUAUCCAGCAAUCCAAGCCUUGCCAGGGCUCAGCCCACUGUUCUCUCUUUGCAGCAUCUAGGAUCAUGUAUCUGCCAUUGUCUUGCAUUGUUCUUUGAAAGUAUUUAUGGAGCAUAUCUUCCCCCUUGGCUCUCCUGCUCUUGUCUGCACAUUUCGCCUCUUUAGGCCUAGCCCUCCAACCCCAGGCCCACUGAGCUGUCGUCCUAUUUUCUGAAAGUCUGUCCCCCAUAUCCUUCCUGUACUACAGGGACCAGAAUAGUACAUUCUGGUCUGGCCUCCCAGCCUCACACUGGAUUCCCUCUUUCCCAGAAUAGCCACUUCAUAACAGGAUGGCGGAGUCCACCGUCUCCAAGGCACCAGGCUUACUCCGGAAAACUGAAAAACAACCACAAAAGAACCUUCCCUCCCUGAGUGCCUCCCUCAUGCUCACCCGUCAGACACUGUCCCCACCUGUGGCACCAGACCAGGUGGGGAGGAGCACAACUCGUUGCCCAGCGUCCUUACAGAACUGACACCCCUGACGAGAAUGUCACCUAGGAUCUGAAACCAGAAGACUACUCAAGACACCUGUUUCUGGUCAGGACGCAUAGGAAAUGGUUUCUUGAAGAAUGUAACUGAGAAAAAGCAAAUGUCUUGUGAACUUUGGAGUUGCAGAGGUGCUAGGGAGGGGAGAACCAGUUAUUUUCCGAGGGAGGGGUGAUGUCAAGGACUCCCCAGUGUGAGUGAGCUCAGCCAGGCCAGGUGCUUUAUGGACAUCAUUUCAGUCCAUUCUCACCGACACCCUGGGCAAGAAGUAUGUUUAACCCCAUUUUAUACACGAGGAAACCAAUGUUCAGAGAGACUAAAUGAUUUACUUGGCCUAACUGGCUUCUCAGAGGGAAAAGAUCAUCCGGGCACACCUUCUUGCUGUUCUGGAGAAGGCACUGGAAGUUAAGGAUUAGAAUGCUUCCUGCGGACUCAAUCUAGUGUGGAGGAUGGGUCUUAUGGCCAGAUGGCAACAAAUUGAGAAGUCAGCAAAAGCCGUCCUUGGUUCUCCCAGCCCGUGUUCUCCACAGCCUCUGGGUGCCCAUGUUCUUCCCUGGUCCUGUCCCUGCCCUCCUCUCACAGCUGGAUUCACGGUAAAGGUCACUGCUGGAAGAGAGAUGUUUAACAUGAAGGAAUAAAUCACUCAUGAUGGUGUUUCUGUGGGUGAAAGUUCUGUAGUGGGGUGACUUUCCAGCUCUGGCAGCAGAAGGGUCCCCUGCAUAUAGGAACAUGCUGGUAAGGCUGGCAUCUGCCCAGCCUAGGGGAGCCUGCUGGCCUUACCUGAGGAGAGGAGCUUGUGUGUUCGCAGGAAGCUGAUUGCCAGUCGCAUGAUGGAGGCCUUGUCCAGAUGGGAGCUCACACUGUGGGGCAGAGGCAGCUCAUGGGCCAGCUCAUAGAACACCUCCGUCUCCUUGCUCCGCCGGCACCGCGCAGCAUCCCGGGACUUCUCCUUCCUCCUCUCCGAGCUACUCCUAAGUGGAGAAGAAGGGGUUAGUCCCGGAAAGGUUACUGUCAGCCUAUCAUACCUCUGGCCAGGACAUCCCCAUGGCCCCAACCCCCAGUGCAGCCACACUCCCUUACUAGACUGAUCUGGGCUCACACCAGUUGUCUGAGCCACACACAACCUGCUUUGUAUUGUUAGCUCUGCUUUUGUGUGUGUUGGUGUCUUCACAACCAAAGUCCUCCUCUUGCAUUCCCUGUGGAGGCCAGAACAGGGCUUCACAUGGGUGGAGUCUGGGCAAAGACUGGCUGAUUAAAUUAACUACCAAUGCCUGGGACCUAGCCCUGGAAUAUCUGGGGAUAGGGGUGAAUGUCCAGGGAUGGAAAGAGAAGGGUAAGGAAGCUAUGAUCAGUGGCUCAGAUGGCUUUGUCAAGGGCUCUGGAGAACAAGAUAAAAAAACUGCUUUAAGGUUCUUUUUCUGCAUAAGACACAAUCAGAAAAAAUUAAGAGUAGUACUGAACCCUAGAUCCCGCUUCAUACCAGAAAGUGAUUUCCACAGUAAAAACUGAAAAUGCCAUUACAGCCCCAGAACAGUUAGCCAGACACCCAACAGUCUAGAGUACCAACGUGCGUUCUGUCAAGGAUUAAAAAGGAGUGGGCACAAACAUUUUCUCUCUAAGCCCUGCCAGCAUAGGUUGCCAGGCUGUCUCAGCCUCAUUCUCCUCUUUGCUGCAGGAUGGAACGAAAGAUGACACGCACUGAAGCCUGCCUCUUUUAGAAGUCCUAAAGAAAUCCUGGACUUUCUUAUAAAGUCCAUGGCAAGUUCUAGCACGGGCAAUAUUUAAAAGCCAGAAUGUUUAGAUUGGAGUUCUAACUUCUCUGCUUGUUAGCUCUGUAAAUAAAUCAUUUAAACUGCUUAGCCUCAGUCUCCUCAUCUGUAAAAUGGUAACAAUAGUGCUUACCCUACAGAGUUAACUGUGAGGACUAAAUGUGAUAAUUUAUGUAAAAUCUUUAGCACUAAGCCUGUUCCAACUGUAAGCAAUCAAUGUUAGCUAAUACUAAUUAAAAAGAUGGCCAUGAAAAGACAAUCAUAAGAGUUAAAAAGUUACAAAACAGUACAGGACAAUUCUAUUUUCACAGAAAUGUAUUAUACAUAAUACUUCCUAUAAAUUAUAUAGGAGAAAGGCUAGAUGCAUAAUAACUAUUAUUAUAGGUAUCACAGACAUAGUGCUUACAAGGACUGUUUUAAGCAGUACUACCUUGGCUUAUUUAAACUCACACAACUGCCCUUGGAAGUAGGCAUUAUUAUUAUUAUUAUUAUACCUAAUUUACAUAUGAGGAAACUGCCCCAUAGAGGCCAAGUAAUUUACCUGUGGCCUCCAGCAGGUAAAUGGGGAAGUCGGGCUUUGCACUGGGAAGGUGGGCCCCAGAAUCAUGGCACUUAACCACCAAUGACUGUCCUGUCUCCUUCUACUCAAAAAUGUUAGCAGUUGCAUGGUAGUGAGGUUAAAGGGAGUUUUUUUGGUUUUUGUUUUGCUUUGUAAUGCUUAUCUGUAUUUUCUUGUGUUUCUAUAAAUAACCUAUAUUGCGUAUUUAAUGAAGAAACAAGUAUGUUUUUUAUUUUUUUAAAAAGCAUCUAAGCCAGGCAUGGUAGUAUUUGGACCUGUAGUCCCAGAUGGGAGAAUCACCUGGGCCCAGGAGUUCAAGACCAGCCCGGGCAAUAUAGUGAGACCCUGUCUCUAUAAAAAUAUAAAUAAGAUAAAAUAAAAAAGCAUCCAGCGAAGUUCAUAGGUUUCAAGGCCUCAAUCCAAUCAGCUCUAGCUGGCUCGUUCUGUCCUGCCAUCUGAGAUCCCAGAGGCUGCUUCUCCUUUUGUUUGGCUUUGCAGCCUGCUAUUUGGACAGAAAAUCUGUAUUUUGGGAUUCAUGGAAUGUGAGCAUGCCUCUCAAAUCCCUCAAGAUUUGGGGCAGAAGCACUGUUUUGAUUUUACAACAUACUUCAUUUAAAAAGACAGACUAUCCAGCUCCGUGGAUGGAUUAAGCAUCAUAUACUCGGAUUAAAGGAUGAAUCGUCCAACAGCUGUUGAUGGUCAAGAAGAACCUUCAGAAAAAUUGUGAAAUGAGUGAAACUAUUUUUCUCGUCAUGUCUCCCUUCUCUGCUUCCUUUAUCUAAUCCCUGUUUCCCUCUCUCCCUGACUUCCAACCUUCAGGACACCUACCCCUGCACCCCCCUUUCCCCACCUUCUCAGGACUUGCCCUGAUUAGACCUUUAGUGGCAGUUUUUAUAUUAGUCCCUCCCACGUGCAUUUUAAUCCUGACCUGAUUGUGGAGAAAAAGUUAAAGAAUUGCAAGUAUUCUGGCACAGGAAAGGAAGAUGGGAAGAGGGCAGGAUGCUGAAACCGCACACAUCAUGCCUUUGGAUCAGGAGGGUCAGGUGAAAGAUGCUGGAUUUCAUUACUAACCCUUGUGCUCUCCAACAAAAGCAUCAUCAACACAUAACCUCGUCAUCAGGGGCCAAGGGAAGCCAUCCUGAAGCAAAAGCAAUCCCAGCACAGGCUAUGGCAUUAACGCCAAUAUCUGCAUGCACAAAGCUUCCCUCUGCCAUUGGCCCCUUCCUCGAAGAAGAGGCAGAGAGGAAAAGCCAGGUAGGGAAAAGGCAAUCUGGAGUCAAUGCUCUGACAAUGGCAUCUGAUAUAUGAGUCUUGCUGUGCUUUUUGUGCCUGGUGCUCUAUCAAAAACCUUUCAUAUAUUAGUUCAUUAUACUCUUCCUAACAACAAAAUAAAGUAGGUAUUGUUUACACAGUUUAGAGAUGUGGAAACUGACGCUCAGAAAUAAUAUGUCAUUUGCCCAAUGUCACAAAGCCAAUGCCUACAUAAGCCAUUUAAGGGUUUAUAGUCAGUGAGCAGACACUUAGAAGUCCGGAAACACACAGGGGAUCCCUAUCUAAUUCCAUCCUUGCAACCAAGUGAGGUAGGCAAGACAGGUACUGUCACUGUUCCCCUUUCACAGAUCUGGAAACAGACACUUGAGCAGGUAAGUUACUUGCCUAGAGCAACCCAGCUAAUCAGUGGCAGAGCUAGGGCUAGAACCCUGCUCUUCCUAGGCGAAUACUCUUUUCACUGCUUAACUGUAGGAGAUAGUGGCUUUGGCAAGAAAUAAAGAAACAGCAACACCUUAGCUUCCAGAAAAAGGAAGAUUGAGAAUCUUAGGCAGCCUCUUGGUUCAAAAGUCAGGGAGGUGGGAUUUCAGCUGAACCUAAAAGGACAAAUAAUAAUGCCUUUACAGAAAGCACUUCUUCUUAACAUGUGUUAUCUCAUUUGAUUCUCACAACCCUGAGAGAUAGAAACUAUCAUCUCCAUUUAAUAGAUGAGGAUGUGGAGAUUUAGAGAGAUUAAAUAAUUUGCUAAAAACAUUGUCUCAAACCUAGUUCUUCUGGGUCCAAGAUCAAAAGUUUUUCCAUUGGCAGCAAGGAGACUAUCAUUUACUGUACAACUUUGAUGUUCCCUGUGCUGUGUUGAUACUUUCCCACAACCUGGAUGCUCACACAUACUUUGGGAAGAAGGGCUAAUACUUUUUUAAAUACAGUGACAAAAAUUUCAUGAGGGGAGCCUCAUGUCUUUAAGUGUGCACCCAUUCACCUUAGGAGAACACCUGGAAUGUUAAGAGUAGGACUAAGAACCAGCAUCAGAGUUCAGAUGGGGUCGGCGGGGGAAGAAGGGACUAAGUGCUGUGGGCCUUAGCAGACACAGGUGCCGGUCACAGUAGUGCUGGGAGGGUGGGGGAAUGUUAUCAGAUGUGGCUCUGCAGUGUUCCAUAAAAGCAGCAGGUCCAACCCUGCCACAGUAUCUAUCUAUGCCGCAGGUGGAGAAAAAGGUGUUUCUUUUUGUUUUGGGUUUGUUUUGGGUUUGUUUUUUUUCCCCCUGGACAUUUUCAUAUGCACAAAUUUAUAGUUACUCUCCCCGAGGUGGAAACUCACAUUCUGAAACGUUUGAUCCCAGCUAAAGUUAACAACCACUUAAGCACCAGGCAGCCAGUCAAAAGAUAAAACAAAACUGAAAUGUCCAAAAAUUGUCAGCAGAGAUAUGCUACAGUUCAUCCAGGAAAAACCUCUUUGCCCAGAGCUUCGUUAUCUUAAAAACAUCUUAACUUUUAGGUCAUUGCUCCGAGCAUGGCUUAGGGAUCGCUACUUAGGUCAUGAAUCUAAGGAUGAUCUGCUCUUGGUCAAGAUGAUCUUGGUUCCUGACUUCCAUAUGAACACAGCCUGGAGUGAGGCCCCAAGAUGUCUGUCACCAGUAACACAGAGGGGUUGGCUGCCUAAUUAGCUAGACUUUUAGAGUGAUUAGGACUCACAUGCCUAAUGCCUGUGGCCAUUCAGGUAUCAAAACAAUAUGCCUAUUACCCUAUAAGGUUAAAUGGCUUAGAAACAGAAUGGAUUUCAGCAGGUAAAGAGAUGACUGAGGCUAAUUAAGCCAGCUGGGAUCAGUCUAUUGGUUGGUGGUGAAAUUCCAAGCUGGAGCCAAUUUGCAAGAAGCUGAGAAUGGAGGAAAUAAAGGUCAAAUGCAAUUGGGAGAGGUCUAGUGACACUUCUAUGAGGCUUGUGGCUGCUGUACAGGGGCUGCCUGAUAGGAGAAACACACCCAGCUCCAGGUUCCAGAGAUGAGAAAGAGUCACUGGUCCCCAUACUUAACUGGGGCAGAACCAAAGUCGGUGGUUCUCAGUUUUGCUGCUCACUGGAGUCACCAGAGGAACCUUAAAAAACAGAUGCCUGGGCUCUAUCCCCAGAGAUUCAGAUUUAAUAGGUCUCAGGUGCAGGCUGGGCAAUGGGAGUUUUAAAAGCUCCCCACGUGUAGCCAGGGCUGAGGACCACGGUUCCAAAGCAGCCAGUUUUUAAAGGAAGGAUGGAUGGGUGGGUGUGUGUGUGGUGGGGGGAGGCAGAUGGGGUUGGACUUAAAUGUUUUUGGAGAUGCAAACAGCUAUGUCACCUUUCUCAAAGAGUAGGAUGAAAAGGAAACAUAUUUAUUGAGCACUGGGGCCAGAUGCAUUUAAUAAAUGGUCUCAUUUGAUCCUCACUUAAAUGAUGCAGUGUUAUUGGCCCCAGUUUUGCAGAGCCGUGGGUCUCAAUUUUAGCUUGCAUCAGAAUCACCUGGAGGACUUAUGAAAACAUAGAUUUCCAGGCCUGUGAUCAUGUGUCUAUGGAAGACUGACGCCCAGGUCCACUUCCAAAACCUAACCACACUCUUUCCCUCUACCAUGCACUGUGUCCAUAUUCACUGUGUCCAGCAAAUUUGAAGUCACCAUCAUAAGCCAAACAGUCAUUUAUCUAGGAGUUGGUGUGAUCACCACUGUACCAGAUGCUAUGGCUAAUAGGAAGAGGGAGAUGAAAAUAAUGAGACAUGUGAAAUAGAUGCCACACAGAAGGUGGCUACCCUUCAAAGAAGCCACCUUGGGAGAAGCCUAUAACUUUAUGCUGGUAGGUGGCCAUCGCUCUGUCUUUUGGGAAGUCUUUUAGAAUUAACUUCAGAGCCACAUAAGAAAAUCAGUCACAACUCUUCAAAGGACACACCUCAUUUCAAACCCCAAACAAUAUUAUCCAGUUUACCCACCCCGUUAGUCACCAGACUUAGCUGUGGAUGGAUUGUGGUUGUUUGAUAGGAUAAAAUGUGCCCUCAAAAGAUAAGACUUUGCCACAAUUGAAGGUAUUGAAAAGAAUGGUCUUGGCUGUGAGGGCCAUUCCAAAGGAGUGACAAAAAUGUUUGAGAUGAAGGCAGUGUUCCAGUGGUCAGUGUUCUAGGUACAUUCUGAUGUCCAAAGGCUGCAGGGAUCAGUAGGGGAAUCUAUCACAAAGGGAGGAAAGGUAUCAAUGUUAGAUAGUGAAAACAGAAAAUAGGCCAGGCACAGUGACUCAUGCCUAUAAUCACAGCACUUUGGGAGACUGAGGCAGGAGGAUUGCUUGAGCCCAGGAGUUUGAGACCAGCUGGGCAACACAGCAAGACCCCAUCUCUAAAAAAGUUAGAAAUUAGCUGGGCACGGUGGCACACACCGGUGGUCCCAGCUACUCAAGAGGCUGAGGCAGGAGGAUCCCUUGACCUGGGAGCUCGAGGCUGCAGUGAGCCAUGCACCACUGCACUCCAGCUCAGGUGACAGAGUGAGAACCCAUCUCAAAGCAAAACAACAAAAAGUUACAAAUUCAGAAUGGAAAAUAUUAAAUUAGCAAAUUCAGGAGGAGCUGGCCAGAUCAGACAGACUUUGACAAGAGAAAAAAGGCAUUAAUAUGCUUUAAUACACACACCUCUCCUGAGGGGCAUGGUCUCUAUCCUGAAAGAGACCACAGCCCAUCUGGGAGAUAAGACUAAUAAUCCACACUAGUAUAUCAAAAGUCUACAAGAGGGGACAAAGAAGAGAGAAGACAUGAGACUGGAGUGGUUAAAACAGGGACAAAUGCUUUCACUUGCCACUUCCCUGAAAGAGGAAUCCUGGAAAGCAUCUCAUACCUCAGCCUCCCAACCUCCGCUCCGCUGGGGCUGAGCCUCCAGCUCUCUGACCUACUCUAACGGUCUGUGUCCCUGGAGCAGAGGGCCUGGACUGCAUUCAGCGCUGACAGUAAUGUCUGGGGCUCACCCAGCAUGGCCCUCUAAUGGUCAAUUCUGCUUGGGUUGACUGGAGAUACUUAUCUUCUGGCCUUCUCAGCCCCAGGCAGCCUUGUAGAAAAGAGCAGCAGAUUCGAUUACUAAGCAGCCCAUCUGGGGCUCCAGAUAACCCAGCUCCUUACGUAACCGGAGGACACGUGGACUCCCCAGCCCAGCUGGGAAAAGCUGUGUGUACACAGGAAUAAUCAUAAUGAACUGUCCCUGUGCUUAGCUUCAUCAAGCCCAAGCCUUAGUGGGUGCCAAGGUCUGAAUGUUUACGUCCCCUCAAAAUACUUAUGUUGAAAUCCCCACUCCCAAUGUGAUGGUAUCUGAAGGUGGAACCGUUGGGAGGUGAUUAACUCAUGACAGUGAAGUCCUCAUGAAUGGGAUUAGUGCACUCGCAAAGGAGGCCCAGGGGAACCCUCUCACCCCUUCCACCAUGUGGAGACACAGCUAUGAACCAGAAAGUGGGCCCUUACCAGACACUGAAUCUGCUGGCACCUGGACACUGGACUUCCCAGCAUCCAGAACCAUGAGAAAUGAAACUCUGUUGUUUAUAAGCCACUCAGUUUACGGUAUCUUGUUGUAGCUGCCCAAAUGGGCUAAGACAGUGGGGCAUUCUUUAUUCUACAUAUUAGUGAAUAAUACCACUUUACAUUUGGAUCACACACUACAGUCUAAAACACUCGUGAGUGAAUCUGGAAAUCUGUAACUAAAUUUGUAAAUUUCACACAGUAGGCUAGGAAGAGCAGCUACCAUCAUUCCCAUUUUAGAGAUAAGGAAAAACUGAGGUUUAGAAAGGUAAUGGGAGUAUGUGGAACUGGAACAAAAGCCCCGAGUUCUGGCUUUUUCAAGGCCCUGUGAACAGAGCGCCUGCUGACAAGCAGCACUGGCCAUGUGGCACGAUUAGAAACAGACCUUCAUUAUCUGUCCAUCAUAUAACCUAGCUUUUCCCAACACAUAAUUUCCUUUUUAAAAAUGCCGUGGUGAAGAUAAGGGUAAUGCAUAUUUAGUAUAAGCAACUUCAAAAAUACAAAAAGGUAUGAAGAAAACGAGCUGAGAUCUCAUUGGAUUUAUAAAUUAAUACUUUGCUCUUUUUACUUAACAGGAUAUCCCAUUAAGAAUUCUUUCAAAAUAUUCAUAAUAGCCAGCAAUAUCACAUCAUGUGGCUGAACCACAAUGCAUUUUACUAUUCCCUUAUUGCUUUUCGUUAUGGUUUCUAAUUUUUAGCUGUUAUAAAUAAUGCCAUGACAACUACCUUGGCAUCAGGUAUUGCUUACUUCUUACAAUAAAAGAUAUGUAUCCAGCUUGCUGCCAGCUCCCCGUAGCCACCUCACAGUGACCCCACCCCCACCCCAUGAAAGCUGAGUUGGCAGAUUUGGCUACACUGGCAUCCUCAGGACCACAGCCAGCAUUACUGAGCACAAAGCAUGGGUCACGGUGCUUCAGAGGGCAGUAUCAGAGGGAAGGAAGACAGAACAUGCAACAGUCUCAGCCUUGGAACCAGGCUCAGCCUCCUUUUCCCAUGGCCAGCUCUCUCUAGGCUGCUUCUCUUCCUCAUGCAUACGCAGGUCAAAGCAUCUGAAGAGAAGACCAGCUGUGCUAAAACUGGUGGCUUCCUUUGACUCUAAUCCAGUUCUGAGAAGAGGGCCACCCUUGCUGAUGAGCAGGACCUCUUCCCCCACUGUAAAAAUAAAGUGUUCUUUCCAUCUUUCCCACCCCUCAUCUUAUCCACUGCAGGGAUGUAUAGAGAAGACUCGGUGCUGUCUUCACUCAUGAAAAAGCAGGGAGAAAGCCAGCGGGUGCAGGAGGCAUUUGCGUGGCUCUCCAUUGCUCUCUGUGGCCUCUGAUGUCUGCCACUGCCCGACCCCUGACACCAUGCAGCCUUCAGCUAAGAGACUAAUUAACCUCCGCAAGCUGAGAUACUGACUAUAUAACUAGGAAACAACCACAUGUGACUCUUUCCAGUUAGUAAAGAACUCUCAGCAUAUUGCUUCUGUUUAAUCCUGAAUCAAUCUUGCAGAGCAGGUGUAUCACUCCCAUUUUACACAUAAGGAGACAGACCCCAAGGAUGUUAGUGGCAUGCCCAGCCAUCACCCAGUGAUGGAGCCAGCACUCAAACCUGGAUCAUUUGACCCUAAAUCCCAUAUUCUUGAUUGUAAUUGGGUGACCUUCCCUACAAGGCCAAUAAGCAAGUCCCUCAGGUUCAAAAGAUUUAGCUGAGCUGGGCAUCUUGAGGGUGAAGCCUUCUAGGAUACUAAAUCUGAUGAGCUUUUUGAAACAUACACUUGGUCUGGGAAGCAGCAAAGUGAGACACGCUGGCCACCAUUUUGCCUGAGGCCAGCCCCUCAGCUGGCACACCAGCCCCCUUGGGAUAGUUCUCAGCUUGGAGAAGUCUGUCUUUAAAAGAAAAAGAAAAAAAAAAGGUUUGUGCUUUGCUUGCGGAGUCUACAGCUGCCACAGGUUGUUUCCUUCUCACCAGACUGUUUUCUUUGGUGCCACCUCUCUGGGCUUGAAGGUAUUUCCCCACACCCAGGCUGUUACCAGAUCUGAUUUAGAUUUUUUUCCUUAGGGCUUCUACCCAUCAGCAGCCUUCUUCCUUUGGAUCUCACAAGCUUCCAACAACACCAUCUGUGGUUUGGCUCAAACCCUUCUGCCUGUGCUGCCAUCCUGUUCCUACAACACUGCCUUCAGCUAAGAAAAUUGACAAAGAAAUUGCACGGCGGUUGAAUCAAGAAGAAAAGGCCUGAGAUGUAAAACGGAUUCCUCGGCAUGAAGCAAACUCCGUGGGGCAAGUGGGGAGCAGUUUCCCGCCCCACUUCAGUCUCUAGGGGGGACUUAGCUACUGCUGCUGCCCCUCCCACUCCCUGCCUGGAAUAUACUCUCUCCAUCUCCCAGGCCUGUCUGAAUUAGGCUCAUAUUUCAAGAUCUCCCAUGCAUCCGUUUCCCUAGGAAAGCCUCACCUGCACUGACUUCUCCUCCAAGUCCCAUUUCAGAGGUUACACACGCACGAUUUGGCCCUGUGUUGCUCUCCUUGAUUUCACUUCUGUGGCUUCUGUCUCCCUAACUAGACCACAUACUCUUCAGGGAAAGAACCCCACACCUGUUCUUUUGGUGUCCUCUAAAGCAUCAGUAGUACAAAGUGGUACAAACUGGAGACAUCGGAUAAAAACCACGUCAAUGACUUCAGUUCUGUGGAUUCCUCAAAGCUGCUCACUGUUCUAGAUCUUUCCUAAGAAUUCUAACCCGGCUCUUAAUUAGAAUAGACGGUUUCCAUCUGGGAAGAGUCACCCUGCGGACACUCAAGGUGUGUGUGUCUGUUGGUGUUUUGUCACCUCUGUGAAUCAAAUCUGGGGUCUGAACUAGUGCUGCUGACAGCUGCCUGUGGAGUCACCCAGAGCAGCACUUCCCAACCUUUGCUGUGGCCAGGAAUCACCCAGGGAUCUUGUUACAGUGCAGGCUCAGUAGGAUCUGGGCUGAAGCCUGGGAUUCUGCCUUCCUAACAACCCUCAGAGGAUGCUGAUUCUACUAGUCUGUGACCUCACACUUUGAGUAGAAAGAGACCCAGGAACACGUGCGAUCUUGAGACUGAAGAUGCCAUCUGGCAGGGUUAGUGCUGCCUGCUGCCAUCCUAAUCUGAGGCACGUAAAGUCCAACAAGUCCAAUCUUCUCUCUGGCCAGGAAGAAUCCUGUUCUCUUUGUAGCUUUCUUUAUGGGAUUUUACUAAGCCCUACAUUAAUGUCCCUCUCCUCCUUCAAGUCUUCCCUACCUGUAUCAUUUUAUUCCUUCCUAUUUCUUCAAAACCCACCCCUUAGGACCAGCCCAAGCCCUACUUCUUCCAGCAGUGUCCCUGGCCCCUUAGCAACAUUCUCCAGGGUACUUCCUGCCCACACUACUCAUAGGCCCUUAUUAAAGGCCUCCCUGUCUUGGUGGCUUUUCUAUGCAAACGUUCUACUCCUAUAACUGUGCUGUAAGUACCAGGGGAAGGGCACAGACACAACAUCUUCCACUUUCGUGUAUCCUUCAGUGGAACCUGGGCUAGGGCAGACAAACUGGGUAAAUAUUUGCUGAUUGUGAAAGACAAUCAAAAAUGCCCUUUGCUCUUUUCCUUUCCCUCUCAAGGAGGAAAGAAAAAGUGAUCCCAGCUGCCUUGGCCUCCAUCCCCAGCCCAGCCUUGCUCCUCUCCCAGGCGCUGCAGCUGGGGCGGCUUAGAUUUUAUUUCGCUCUCUGCAGCUCCUCUUCCCUUCAGUGAAGAGUUAAAGCAUCGGGAAGGCUCCUUCCCACUUGGAAAUCUCCAUUUCCUCCUGCAGCGUGAACAAGAGAACUCUAUGGACAGAGGCCGAGUGAGCCAACUGCGCAGGGAGUGAACUCACUCUGAAUGGGGCUGUUCUAACACCCGCCAAGUCAAGUCAUUAAGAUGCCAUCCCCGAGGUGCAGCCCCCAGCGUCACCUCUGGAUAUCCAUAUCCUCAAGCCCGCCGGCAGAAAGGAUGAAUGGUGAGCACAGAGCUGGUGAAAGCAAGCUCUUUCAUGAGCAGGGCGUGAGAGGACCUCUCCGGCUCCUCUUAAGGUGGGGGUGGGGCGCUUCGGAGUAGAAGUCGUUCCUCCUCUCUCCCACUGCCUCCUCUACCACACCGAACUAAAAUUAACCCUCAAAUUUACAGGGAGUUACCCAAAAGAUUGCUCCACAAAAGGCAACCAAGAAGGGGGCUGGGUAAUAACAUUAGAAAAAAUAUCUGCAAUGCCAAAAAUAAUCACUGUGUCAUGAGAAAACAGAGCUGGACUGCCUCAGAGGCCAGCACUGGGUAUAUACAGGAAGGAGGGGGCAGAAAUUCCCCUGGCAGUGUCGUCAAACAUUCUGGAUGGAAAAAGGCGGGUGGGGGGCGGGGGUGCACAUAACCGGGACAGACAGUUGUCAGAACUCUUUUCAAGUACAGAAUAUGAUUUUAAGGGUCAGUUCUCUCUUCUUUAUUUCAGACACUUUAAUUUCAAAGAAAACAUUUGUUUAGACUUUUAAUCAGGACUGAUGCUUGAUCACAUGCUAAUAGUGAAAUAUCCUAGGAUCUGCCUUACUAAUCCCAACAUGUUGCCAGAACUUCUGGUUCCUGGAAUUUAAAGUAUUUCAAAACAGCAAGAGAAGGGGGAGAAAGCACGGGAUCCCUCACUCUCCUACCCCCAUCCUCAUAACCCCUUCUCCCCUCCCUAUUAAAAAAAGGAAAGCAAAGAAAGAGGAAAAGUGAAAGAGGAGAGAGCUGGUAGAGAAUCUGUCCUGGGCUUCCUUUAUAAAGAAUCCUGAUCUGAGGCCUGUUCACAUGGUCACAUGUCUAGUAUUGUGGGAUCUGAUUCAUGCCACAGCGCGAACACUUGCUUUCCCCCAAUUCUGCCCUCUCUUGCUCUGAUGAGAAGUGAGAUGUCUGCGCACAUUUCCAUUCCUUUGUAAAGAAGUCAUCAAAAGCCACAGGAAAUGCUAAAAGUCUUUUCCAAAUUUAUUAUCAUGCUCUCAAAUAACAUUGAGCAAUUUGGGAAAUAAAACUGUAUUUUUCCCCCAGCAAUGGCUUAUUCCCUCUGCUCAUUCAAUAUAUAUUAAUGAUUCUCUCUUCCUACGAUGGGGCUGUGAGCAGUAGAAUGAAAUGUGGAACAACUAUGCCUGACCUCAGGGAGCUUGCAGAGAGGUGAAGAGCCAAGUCCUGAAGAAUGGGCUGAACAGUCAGGGCUGUAGGAGUUUGGGAGGAGAAAGCCUGCAAGGCUGGAGAAGACAGGGAGAACUCUGCUGGAGGUUGGCUUUGAAAGAAGAGCAGGAUACAGGGAGGCAAUCAGGAUGGCAGAGGGAUGACAAAGACACACUGGGAAUGGGCAGAGGUGCCAGUGGUCGGGAGACAGGCUAGAGAACAGGGAGCAAGGCAUUGAGAAUCUGGGUGGGGAGAACGCAUUCAUUAAACAGACCUUGUUGAGUAUCCAUAAGGUGCCAAGCACACGAAAGGGCUUUAAACAAAAGGACAGGUAGCUAAAGUCAGAUGCCCGGAUAAUUGCCUAGCCUGUUGUCUGAUUAGUGGCUGAGGUGCCAGGUGGUGGGCAGUGCCAGAACCCAACCUCCAUGCUCCUCCUGCUGGUCAUGCUUUGGCCCUGCUGGACAGCAAGUGUGAGAACCCCUCUUUUCUUGGCACCAAAGCCAAGGAAAAUGAAACCCUCUGUUGGAAGCUCUAAAUAUGGCAGCAAUUCCUGGGCUGCCACAGGCUGGAGCCUCAGCUCAGUCCACAGAGACCUCCGCAAGGCAUUCUUGCUGAACAGUAACUCAUAAAUGUUACCCAUGGGAUGAAAAACAAACUUCACCCAGGGCACACGCCUCCUCUGGCUCUGGUGGUGUUUUAUUUAUUUCCACAGACCUUAGUCCCCAUCUUCUGUUUGUUUCCCUUGCCCCUCACUUUCUUUACCACUGACCAAGAAUAAAAUUUGAGUCAGAUCUUGGGGCAAGGAACAGCUCGCCAGCCCACCACUCUUUCCCCAAAACCAUUUUCAGCUUGUCGCUCCCCCAUUUUAAAAUGAAAAUUGCUCCCCACCAUCCUCAUGAUGAAGUCCAAGCUGGACGUGCUCCUUGAGGUCUCCCAGCCCUUUCCAAACUUAGCUCCUACGAUCCUGUAGCUCCACGCUUACUCCAGCCAGACCACACUAUGCCCUGCCACCCCCAAACUCCGCACCCCUUUCUGCUGCCCAGCCAUGUCCCCAGUUGAUUUGUUCCACCUGAAGUGCUUCUUCCUUUCUGACCUUCUAAACCCUAAAGUUUGAGAGCCAACAUAGGCCUGCCACCUCCACAGAGGCUUUUCUGAGCAUCUUACCGAGCCUACACUGGUGUCUCCUCCUCACUCCUGCCUGGAACACUUAGACAAUCUGUGCUACUUGACUGCAAGGCACCGUCACCUUGUUAGUCCUAGUUUUAAGGUUCUCUGAGGGCACAGGCAAAAUGUCAAACCUCUCAUGUAUCAAAGUACCUUACUCCAACAAUAAUAGUGUCAUACAGCCCUUUCAGUUAUGGUAUGGUGAGCUGGCAUGAAGAUUAAAUCAGUCACGGUCCCCCAGCUGUGGGGGUAUUGCAGAGUUCCAAUGCUUUAGUGCUUCCAGUAGAAAGUGGAUUAAUAAAGGCGAGUGAUGGUGGCUAUAUUCAUCACUAGGUUGCUUAACACCCCAUGACUCCUCACUGUCCCCAGGAAACAAAUCCCUGUAUACUAAGGAUGUUUUCACACAGAAGUAGCUGGCUGUGCCCGCUGUCCACAUCAUGGGUGUGUUUCGUGAGCCAGCUGCUAGUCAGCUCUCACUGACACAGGUGAACAAGUCCGGACAAGGGCAGACCCCUCCCCUCCUGACCCGUCCCAUCCUUAAGAGGCCAGGGAGGUUUCUGCCUCAGAUCCCACCUCCUCGACACUACAGAACAAUCUGUUGCCCAACACCCGUGGCCCAGAGCCCUCACCUCACAUGUGUAGGUGCCCUGCUUGGACUCAGAUUUCUGGCAGAGGAUGCCAGGGCUUGGCCAGGGUUCCACCCUUCUGGUGAUAUAACAUAGAGGUGAGAAAAUGGGCCAAGCCCCAGGGGGAAAAAGCCACUAACACAAAAAUCCUAAGAAACAAAACAAAAAUGAAAACCUAAUGACAUCCCUAAAGAUCAGCAAGUGGGGCUAAAGAACAGCCCACACUUUGGAAAAAACACUGUCCAUUAGCCCAAACUUCAAAAAGUCCACUCUACUCUACUCCUCCGCCUUUGACUUCCCUGCAAG
RNAcentral lists this long non-coding RNA (60234 nucleotides) under Homo sapiens (human). Its description in RNAcentral is "non-protein coding LINC01820:13". Lineage: Eukaryota; Metazoa; Chordata; Mammalia; Primates; Hominidae. The record is from RNAcentral.